CAAUGUCACAUUCUGUAAAAAUUUAUGAUACAUGUAUAGGAUGCACUCAAUGUGUACGAGCUUGCCCAACAGAUGUAUUAGAAAUGAUACCUUGGGAUGGAUGUAAAGCCAAGCAAAUUGCUUCCGCGCCGAGAACCGAAGAUUGUGUGGGUUGUAAGAGAUGCGAAUCCGCCUGUCCAACGGAUUUUUUAAGUGUCCGCGUAAUAAAAAAAAACUCGUGAUUGGUGUGGAGGGGAAGAUCUGCUUAUGAAAUUGUUCAAGAAAGAGUCGUCUCAUUUCCUUAUUUCUUCGUUCUUUCGAAUUCAUUCACUUCGACGGCUGGCGCUACGCUAGCUUUGCAUGAUUAGCUCCGACAGAACAGGUACUGCAUUUCCUUAGUUGGAUCCGCUCUUUCUCUCUCGUGCAGUUGUUGCUUCCGGCUAUUUAUUCAGUCGUCAAUCAGCAUUGAUCCGGGUAGUUAGUCAGUCUCUCUCUUUUUUCCCGUCCUUCUCUAUCUAUGAAAUUCCUAAUUAAGGGAGUUCGCUUUCCAAUAUCUAAAUGUUCAUGCAAAGCAACAAACGAAAUGCAAGAACUGUCACGCAGAAGUCACACAGUAUGCUGAUCGUUCUGAAAUGGUAAAAAGUAUUGGAUUUCAUAAGAGAUUCAUACAUAGAGAUCUAAACUCAUGGAAGGGCCCGGCCACUUUACUGCUUGAUAGCGGCACUGGCUCGUUCUGGGCAAUAAGUCGACACCACUCUUACUUCCUUCUUUUGAACUUGUGUAACACCACUCGGCACUUCUUUUGUCCUUGUGGAAUAGAGAAAAGUCUGUUUUCUAGCGAAACUCGAUCUCGAUAGUAAAUCAUUGGUACGUACGAGUCCCUUAUUUGUUGAGAAAUUCUUUGUUGAUUCGCCUAUUCCACGCUAAAAAAAGGGGGACCGAGAUCUUCUUUGAACGACUGAUCUGCGACUUCCUUCCGCUCGUGUAUCAGCAAUAGAGUUUGUUUGACAACAGAUCCCAAUGCCACCUGCUUUUAGCCAAUUCGUCACUACUACUACUCUUCCUCGGAAACUCAUCCGAAUCAGAAAAGGAUGAUUCCCUAGUGGGAAAUGGGAAAAGUACUACCAGCUAUUUGACCUCGAUAGCCUGCCCCAACUAUCUAUUCUCCUCAGGCACCUUCCGGCAAGGCAUCCCUACUAGAAAUCAGAAAAAAGGCCACUUUUCUGAAACGCACUUUCUUCUUUUCCAUCCAUAGAGGGAAAAAGGACUUGUCAACUUUUGCUGCUAUAUGAAACGGAAGUGGCGAUCGCUGAUGCACCAAUACAACCUCUUGAAAGGCCUCCCUUUUCCUAGUGUUCGGAAACGGAAAACCCUGAACCUGGAGGAGUUAGGUAUGUAGGAUAUGCUUUUUAUUUUUUGUUGGGCAGGCAGUAGUAUAAUUUUGAUACUCUGCAGUAUAAAUUCGACUCCCAACCCUUUUUUUAGAAUAAAAUUGUUGAUAAAACUCCAACAUAGUUUGUUCCAAAUCCACUAUAAUCCUUGUAGAAUAGUCAAGUACCCCAUUUCCAAGGGGGUACCUGUUGAAAAUCGUUUCAACAAAUCCGUGAUACAAGAUAAGAGAACGCUGACCCGGAAAGCUAUGAACCGCCAAUGGUGACUACUUAGGCUAGAUUCUCACCGGCACCAGAGAGAAUAGAAUAGUUGUCUGUGUCUGUCUCUUUACCGGAUCCCCUAUACCUAUCCUGUCCUGCAAGCGGCAAGAUAUCCAGAACUAGGCGCUGCCUCGCAUUGCACCUGUCAAGCUUAUACCUGUUACGGGUCGCUCAUCUAGAUCCGGAUAAGAAGAACUUUUCCCUCAUCCUCUUCUUUAGCACUGGCCAUAGCUCCAUCCAUCGAGGGAUGCCGGAAGUCAAUCGAUUCUCGCAACAUAAGAGAACCAAGUCUACGAGCACACAACACAGGGCUUCACCCAAUCUGUUUCUUACUUCUCCCGAAUAUCCAACUGACUUAUUAAUUUCUUAUAACGUACUCUAUUUUUCUUUGCCAAAUAAGCCAGCAAACGUUGACGUUUUCCCAAAAGUCUUCGUAGACCUCUUUCCGAUGAAAAAUCUUUUUUGUGUAAUUCUAAAUGUGAAGCAAGUCUCCGUAUCUUAUUGGUGAAACUGAAUACUUGAAAUUCAACAGAACCCCUGUUUUCUUGUUUUUCUUCUUUAACCAUAAAUCAACAAAUUUUUCUACCUCCUUUCUUUUUCAUGUAUUUUUCUGAUCAGGAAAAAUAAAAAAUUAUGUCAGUUAUUUUUAAGUUAUUCUAAUCUCGUACACACAAAAAUUUGCAAUUAUUCAUCUACUGCUGGAAUCUGGAAUUUGGAUUUAUUUUAUCGAUGCAAAUUGGAUUUGGAUAGAAGGGUACAUUCUUUUAUUUUAGAUAGAAGAAACAUUUCUUCUAUCUAAAAUAAAAGAAUUUUGCUGAUUUAUUUAUUGCUAUAUCCAAUUUAUAGAAUUGAUAUACCAUUUAAUUGAUAUCAUUUAGCAAAAUGAAACACAACAUAUGCAUCCAUCUUUGGGCUCGAGAAUUUCACGGGAUAGAGAUAUAGUAUAAGAAAUAGGCUAUUAAGUAACUCUAAAUGAAUUGUGGAUACAUCUGUAUCCUUAACAUACUGAAACGACUGCCAUUAUUCGUAUCAAACCAAUAGCGAUUCAUAAAAGCUAAAUCUUGUAAUCAAUGGUGGGCCAAUAAUGAAUUUUUUUGCAUAUGUAUUAAGACGCUUGGUCUGAUUUCGAAAUUGUCCAGAGUUUUUUAUGUUGUUUUCAUUGCAAAAUGAUGGAUCUCCUUCCGUAACUUUCCAAUUACGAGUACGAGAAUUGAAAGAUAGAACACUCAUAUCGAUAAAAUAGUUUGAACUAUUUACUAGAAGGGCACGCAGCCCUUUUUCCAAUGCCAAAUCGACGACCUAUGUAUAAAAAAAAGAGAAAUUUUUUGGAUUUGAAGAAAAAAUAAAAGGAAUUCUAUCAAUUUUUAUUUUCCAUUUAUUUAGUUUGUUUUUCUUAAUGAAAUUGAAAUUAUUAACUAACAGAGCAAACACAAAUAAAGAUAACUUUCCAAUUACGAGUACGAGAAUUGAAAGACAUGAAAAUUCUCAAUUCUCUACGGCGUCUAGGAGAUGGAUCGAAUAUUUUCAGGAACAAGAAAAUCAGAAGAAUCUUUUUCUCUAUUCACUACCAUUCCGCGUCUUCGACUUCUAUUAGUUUCUUUUCUUCUUUAAUGCAAUAGCUAUAGUUUGAUAUAGAAUCCAUUUCUCAAAGUAAUGGAAACCAUUCUCAAGAGGUGUGGUGGGACUGUGGGAGGGUUUAAACGCAAAAACAGCAGACAACGUUGGAUUCAGAUUGGAUGGUUUGGAUGGACUGAUGGUAUGCUUGCACAAGAUAACGGAUUGCACAGGAUAUGACCCCUUAGAUAAUUUUAAAAUGACGCAAUACGACCGUUGAAACUGAUGAUUUAAAUAUAUAGUAGAGACUAGGAGAGUGCCCGUGCGUUGCAACGGGAACGUAUAAAACCACGAUAAACUAUGUACAAAUGUGUGUUAUACUUUUAUAGGUUAGUGCUCGUGCGUUGCAACGGAGACAUAUAAUAUAUCGAUAUCUUAUAUAUGCAUGUGUGUUAUAUAUACAAAAUGUGUCUUAUAUUGUUAUAGUAAGAUGCUCGUCCUAACGAUACUACGAACCUAAGGCUGCCUCCAAUGGAGCAGCUAAAAGGGUAUGCAAAGCUAUUAUGGCUACUCAUAUUCACUGUAGCACCAUGCAUCUUCCAUCCAACAGAGUAGCCAAACAGAGCAGCCAAAUUCCAUGGCAGGUGAGAGAAAAGCUAUUAUGGCUGGGCAGGAACUGAGCAGGCAUCUCUGAUGCAAAUUGGUGGGCCAUUCUUAUCAGUGAGCAUGAGGCAAGCUAUUUUUGCUAUACCAUUGAAAAGUGUUAUAUUAUAGAUGGACAGCUAAAACAUCUACGUCAGCCAACAUGUUGAAUGCCUGCUUCUUUUAGCUGCCGCAUGUUGGAGGCAGCCUAAAAGGCAAUAAAAUUAAUUAGUGGGUCCUGGCAGGCCACCCAGGUUGUUACGGGUCCGGAGGAUUCGCAGCCACGAGCUCCGAGCAUGCAGGCAUCAGAACCGGUCUUCGGUUGAAGGGGAGGAGGAGAGGGAUGACAGAUGAGCCCUACCAGGCAUUGAGCGCGCGGUCGGCUGUCAAGUGGUCCCAAGUGGUCAGGGCGCGAGCUGAUUUGCGGACACGCGGGCUUGCGCGGUUGCUAGGCUGGGCCACGAUGACAACACGUGUAGCGUGAGGAUGGGCCGCGCGGUUGUACAAGGGAGGUGGGCCGGAAUGGGGAUAAUCGGCCCAGGCAGGGUUUCUUUCUUAUUAUUUUCUUUUCUUUUCUUUUCUUUUUCUAUUAUCCUAUUUCUUUCCUUUCCAUUUCAAAUCCAAAAUUUGAAUUCUAUAGUGACGGCAAAAUAUGUGAUCUGUUUUCUGUAUAUUGCGAGAAGCACUUUCAUGAAGACCUGGAGGAAGUGAGAAGAAACUGGGGAAUUCUACCAUGCCCUAGUCCCAAAUAGAACAGUGUAUAUAUUAGUCCCAAAUAGAACAGUGUAUAUAUAGACAGGCACAUUCUACAUGAACAGUUCUGCAUCAUGUAAUGUCAAUAAACUUUUGAUUAUCUGGCAAACGUGGCAUUAAAAAAAGAUGGAAAUGCGGCACAACUUUGCUCAUGCUGGUUCAUCAAAUUUACACAGAACUCUUCUUGCCGAGGACAUGGCCUCCCUCAAAAGAAUUACACUAUUGUAAGUAUGUGUAACACGCGAAAAGAACACAAUAAUUACAUGGCUCAAAACUUACAACACAACACAAGGUAGUGUGUACUACCCAACACGGUAUAAAAUUAUGAAGCAGCAGUAGUGCACAAGACACAGCGCAUGCGAGACUGGCCUGAUGGGGAACCAUCCUCAUCGUACAUGCCUCCGUCACUAUCCUGACCACUGUUUGAUCUCAUCGAGUCUAAGCCACCUUCAAGGCAAGACAGAUGAUACGCAUGGCAGCAGUAGAACACGAUGACAGAUAUGUCCUGGAUAGGCAAAGGAUCGAAGCACAAACAACACCGGGCACCACAUCUUGUUCUGGACUUGAUAUCUAGAGCCCGGACGCUAGAUGAUCUCUCGUGUCCCCGCGAUGAUCCAUCGUCAGCUCUGUUUCCGUGUACCUCCUCGUCCAUGCUUACCAUGUAUACCCCACGCCGAGCCUCGUGGUAGUAUUUAACCAAAAGGUUAACACAGUCAGCUUGAACAAAGCAAGUUUCGGAUGAAAAUGUCCAAAAUUCGAGAUGGUUGAGGCAUGGAGCAGCACAGUAUACGAAAGAAAGUAAACCUUAAGUAUAUCGUUGCAUCCAUUUCACAAUGAAGUUUCUGUCCGGUAAUCCGUCACAAUUUUCACAAGACGAUCCUGCAACCUAUCAAAAGCAUGAGUGAACACUCAACCAGGGGAUGAAAUGGUUGGAUUAAGAAUCAUGGCAGAUCGUUUUGAGUAUAUUUGCCAAGGUUUCAGUCAUGCAAGAAAUUCUGUAGCUCAGUUCUUUUAUGAUAAAUUUUGAUGGAACAUACCGAGGUAUUUCUAAGCCAUCAGGAACCAAACUGACAAUGUACAGAGGAUCAAGAUUGCCAACUGUAUGUUCCAAUAGAUUCCCUACCUGCCCAACAGACAUAGAAAUUGAACUAAGAAACAGAAGAUGCCUCAGUCUAAGCAAGAUUAAGCAUCAUUUAUUUCAGUUACCAUUUCAGGCUUCUGGAGGCAUUGUCUAAUCAGUUCCUCCCACAGUUCAUCAUCAUGCUGUUCCGUAACAAAUUCAACAGCCUGUAUGCAUAUUCAAGAUGCAUGUUACUGUUCAAUCCCAUAUAUCAAGUUGGCUAAUAUAGAACAACAUGUCUCAGAAAUGGUAAUAUAAUUGGUAGGCAAGUUAGAACCUCCUGCAUGUCUUCCAGUUUGUUUAUAAUUGUCGACAGAGCUUCCUUAGCAUUGCCCAUUCGACCAAGGACAAAACUUGCUCCCUUACAAGUUCUUUUUGUGCAAAGAUUUCAUAUGCCUGAAUAACAAUAACAAAUUAUCAAGCCUAUGAUUAACUAAAUAGAAAAUUUUAUGAUGUGAUUCUUUGGGGAAACUAUGACCUUGUCAAGCCUGUAAUGCUGACUGGUUAGAAGGAAGGGUAGUAGCAUCCUUGUCUCGUAGUCUGCAUAAAGCUCCACCUAUAAUGCAAACAGUUUUGACUUGCAAGUUAUUGUCAAAACACAAAGUAGAUGUAAAAAAUAAUUGGGGAAAUGGACAUGACAAUGGAAGGCAGAAAAGAUACCUGCAUAUCAUGAAAAUCCUUUCCAGCGUGUAUAUCUAUCUCAAAUAAAGCAUGCAAAUACAGGUGUAACAAAUAUCUCUUGUCACAUUUUUUACUGGUAUGCAACAGCUGCUCCACAACUUCAUAUGGGAGAAUGAUAUCACGAUGUUGGGUCCGUAGGUGAACUGUUCUUUUAUUGUCCACUAUCAUAAGAUUGACAAUCUGAAGAAUAUUAAAAAAAGUGUUUAAGUCAAGGAUAUGGAAUGCUUUUUCUAAAACGUACCACUGUAGAAUGUAACUUUGUAUUAGCAGCUAAAUUGGACUCCUCCAUUUUGAUACCUUAUCAUGAAUAGCAUCAUACAUGUUGUAUUUCUCAAUAAACUCGAAUACUUCUGGCUUCAGGAGCUGAACCAAAUGGGUUUAAUUAGAAAGAAUUUGACAAUAAAAAUGUAUAUUUUGAUAUGUGCCUACAAAUACAACUUUAGGAUGUACUUACUUCAGCAUAAAGAGAAAGUGCCUUUUCGUAUUGACCAUUGAUCACAUACAAUUCAGCUAAUGACUACAUGGCACAUAAGGCAGAUAUCAACCAAAGAGGGAAAGAAUAUGAAGUGUAAAUAUAUGUUUUACAUUCAUUAAAUGAUGUCCCUCCCCACCUCUUCAAUGAAUCAGCCAUCGAUGAGGAGUUUAGCUGUGGCUCAAUGGCAGAUAUGACCGGUGAGGCUGAGUAUAAUGUCGGUGGCUUUCCGCUAGCUAGCAGAACACGUGACAUGGUCAACCCUCAACAUAUAAUUCAUCUGAUUAUCAGGCUAUUACUAUAAUAAGGUUGAUGCUGUCAACUGCAAAACCUCAUAGAUUUGUAGAGUCACUAAAGCUUAUAAUAAAAAUAUUCUACAAAGGCGAGGUGGACGACUGAUCAAGGCAAGGACACCGAGGCAGGGCUGAUCUACAACGCAGACUACAACAGCAUGGCGAUGCACGCUAGCUCUCACCAACGAUGAAGCCCAAGCCCAAUCACCCCACCAUAAAUAGACCUCGCUAUUUGUAAUGUUUCUCUAGUUUCGUUUGAGCUACAACCAAAAUCUAAGAGGGUGGCAACUGAUCAACAUGCUGCUGUACGUUGACAUUGUAAUGCAUAGCUCUUCAGCUUUUAGAAUGUGACUGUCUAUUUAUGAAUAAUGUUUUCUUCAUGAACUGGUUGUAUACAUGUAGCAAGUUUGCCUCAUUUGAGGAGUUAAUUUAAGCGAUUAUCUAUUUUGUUGUCAAUAUCAGUACCUUGUGAUUGAUGAAAUUUGAAAGUGUUUAGCUAUAUUAAAUGCAACUCAUAAGGAUGACAGUGGAUUGAAAGAUAAGGAUCAGAAAUUAUUGUUUGAAGAUGAGAUAUCUGAGGAUGAACAAGCUGAACAGGCUACUCCACAACAGGAAUUGUGUGUUAUGCCAACAGAUCCUAGUGACUUGCAGAUAUAUUUUUAUUAUAUGUGCCUUAGUCUGAAGGCAUGAAUAAUACAAGUUACUAAAAAUGUCAUUUAGGUCAAGUCAAUUAUGUAUUCAUGAUCCACAUACAAGGAAUCAUUAAAUAUAAGAACAUAUUCUCUACAAAUAUCAAUCAUGAUCCUAUCACACAUUUUACUAUUCUUUUAAAUGACUCGGAUGAAAUGAUUAACUGAAGUCUAGAAAAACCAUAACAGAAAUAUGCAUCAUCCAUUGAAAAAGCACAACAUUUACAUAUAAUUACCUUUCGAAGCCUCCCAAAAAUGAUUUGAUGAAGAAACUUAAGCUCGACAAGUAUUUUAUUUGAUAUUCUCUUCGCAACUGCAAACAUUUUCAGGUCUGAAUCAUCAGAGUAUAUAAUAAUAAACACUUGCAUCCAGAAUUGAAGUUGUGAGUUAUUGAACUGUAGAAAAAGGAUGUGUAUUUUUGAAAGGCUUCUUCCAGUUCAAGAUAAUUUGUCCAGUUUACUGGAAUGUUUUGUUUGAACAUAGCCCUCUUAAUCAAAGAAGCAUAUAAUCAGACUAACAAGUUGUCUUAUUUUUACUGGUGGAACACACAAAGUGAUAGACAUUGUUCUUUGUUCAAACUGCUUCCAUAAUGCAAAAUUUAGUACUGGGCAUUCAAGCUUAGAUUUUCAGAGAGUGGAUGGGAUGAAAGAUGGAUCUAGAAAAAAAUGAUGAUAAAUAUCAUAUAUUGUAGUUCAGAUGAAAAUAUAAGUCUUAGAAAGAGAUCACACAACAUGAAAUAAUUAUGCCUAUUUAGACAUUGAUAUUUUUUAUUUUUAGGUUGCAUAAUAAUUGGAGAUGUGUACCAAUGGAUGUUAGUACUCUUUUCAUCUGAAUAUCGACAUGCAAAUGCAUUAAGAUUUGAGAAUAGUUUCCAUCUGAUGAACUCAAUUCAUUUCUAGCAGACUAUCCACUCUGAUAUUGCUAAAACAGUUGUAUACUGUUAUGAUAUGAGCUAGCUCCAUAAAAUUGUAUAUAUUUAAAUGGCAAUGAAUAGGUAUAAGAGUAAUCAAUCACUAACAAAGACAUGGUUUACCUUUUUCUUAAGAUGAUUAGACAAAUUAUAUUGUGUACUGCUAGGUUAGAACUCAAUAGCACAAUACAGAAACAAAAUGAAAUGAAAUGUCUUAUGGUCAAAACUCACCCCUCAGAUAUGCUCCAAGCUAUAAAUGUUAUCAACACAUAUGGACUGCUCUGAACCUGCAAUUUCCAAAUGUUAACUAAAACUUAAUAGCCAGGAUUGAAAUCACCAAGAAGCAAAACACAACAACAUUACAUAAACCCUAGCAAAAAGCAUCUUCUAUAUAUGUGCACAAGAGGAAUCCCUCUGAUGGCAAAAUAUAGCUUAGGCAAAAUACAACUUAGGUAAGGGUAGUUUCUCUUUUUCAAUGACCAUUUCAGUACGUAACCAAUGUUUUAUUUUCAAAAUAUAUUCAGAAUAUCAAAAAUAGACCAUAGAUGUGCAAAAAAGAUAUUCUUGUGUACCUAUAUCUGAUUGGUUGAAUGCUUGAUUUGAUUGAAUAAUACUACUUUUUUAUGGUAGGCGUUUCAGAAAUGAGCUUACUCAAGCUAUAUUAAAAGUGACCAUAACAUUAGGUAAGACAUGAUUUUGACUGUGAGCAGGUAGGGGUGCUGCUUCUAAUAGUUGUCAUCAAGCAAAUUUUGAUUUGGCUCCACAACAUAGGUGCAUAAUGAUUCUUUGUGCAAAUAUGAACCGUAAAACACAAACAACAAAAAUCAGAUAUAAACAAAUUGGGUCAAAAAAACAGUGCCAACUACUCCAUUAUGUUUUAUUUGUUGACAUUUUUAUGGUCUUCUAGGUGGACUAUCAAUAUUUAUAUAAUAAGGGUAUACUAUAAUCAUAAUUUAUCUAGAGUCAAUUGGCUGAAGGUAGACCUAUAAUAACACUGCAAUCAAAGGGAUAACACUGGGUAUGAAAUCAUAAUACGAGGACAAUGCAUACGUCUACGACGGUUACUGGAAGGAAAAGAUCCCAAACAUUUGUAAUAUAUGCAGGUUAUGCAGAGUAACAUACAAUAAUUUAUUGGAAAAUAAUUCUAAAACAACAAACAUGCCAUUGCCUGCUAGGACUACCAAAUGGGACUUACAUUUACUUCAAAUUGUUAGGCCUCAAGUUUGUUGGAGCUGUAAACAGAACAAGGGGAGGGAAGCUACAUAUAUUACAAAUGUUUGUCAGAAACGAGGAAACAACCAAACAGUAGUGGAGCUGAUUGAAUCCAUUUACCUCUGCUUCUAAAGGCUUCCCAGUUGCUUCCCAAUGUAAUCACAGAACCUUAGAUCAUAUCAUAGCAAGAAGCAUGGUUCAGCUCAACUAUGAGGCCAUCCAUCUACAUUCCAAAUUGCAAUCAAUGACAGGAAACAGAACACAAGAAGACCAGCAACCAGGAAAGAUCUUGGGCCAAAAAGGCACAAGUGCAAUUGUAAGGAAGGGAAAAUAGCGCAGCAUCCAUGAACUAAACCCAAUCAGAUAUUCAUAUGAGAUGGAAUUGAGCGGGGGCGACGACCGAAUUAAAGUUACAAGGCAAAAACUAAAGGGAGGAGGAAGAGCGGUUGCACCUGUAGUAGCGAGUUGUGGCCGAGGGAUAGCUUCUCCUUGACGUGCUGCAUGCGGAGGUCACCGCUACAGGUAGGGGUGGAAACGAGCCGAGCCGAGCUCGGCUCGGCUCGGCUCGCUGCGGCUCGCUCAUGUAACGAGCCGAGCUCGGCUCGGCUCGCCUAUCUCACGAGCUCGAAAAAGCGGCUCGGCUCGGCUCGCUCCUGGCUCGCGAGCCGGCUCGCCGAGCCAACGAGCCUAGGCAUAAAAUUAAAUCUGCUCUCUAAAUUAUAAUAUAAAAUCUUAAAAAUAUUUUAAAUAACAUAUUUUAAAUUAGUAAAAUAGAUAUAUCACUAAUAUAAUAUAUAAAAUAGAUUAUUUUUGUAUAGUACUCUCAAAUAACAUAAAUUAAUUAUCUACUCGGUAUUAAUAUUAUAUGCUAAUUAAGAUUUUAUAUAACAAAUUGUUGUUGGGUCGAGCCACGAGCCAGCUCGCGAGCUGUACCGAGCCGAGCCGAGCUGGCUCGCUCUUUUCACGAGCCAGAAAAACAGGCUCGGCUCGGGCUCGUUCGGAGCGUCGAGUCGGUCCGAGUCGAGCCGAGCUACUACGAGCCCGAGCCAGCUCGUCGAGCUCGAGCUUUUUUUCCAGCCCUAGCUACAGGCAGUGCACUUUUUUCAGCUAAGGAAGAUUGGGCACACAAUUUCACAUAUAUGACAUAUCAUCAAAUUUGGAACUGUCAUGGAUGACACGAAUUUAUAAGCACCCCCUAGUUCUUUGGGUAUUCUCUUGCACCAAAUAUGGUUGACCCAACUCUUACAUUUGUGCUUCCCAUUUCAAUCUGCAGGCACAUAGAAAACAAUGUAUGUCUAUAUUAACGUAGCUAUCAGCCUACCAUGCCUCUUCAACACUCAUAUAUCACAGUAUUUCCCUUACUGUUUGUUCAAAGUCAGAUGACAUGUCCACAAAUAGUUCGAGCUGCUCUUCCGGUAUUCCAAGCUCCUUGCACACAUCUUCCCGACAGUUGGCUAGUGCCUAUGAAUUUAACAUACAUAAUACACGUUAGUGCACAUAUACAUGCCAUAUUGCCACUUCGAUAGAACUUCUAUAACCCAGAGUUAUACAUUACCUUGAAAUUCUUCGGAGUUGAGGAGUAAUCAAGCAUCCCAAUUAUCAUCAAACCAGACAACACAAGGUUAGGGUUGUUCAAUCUGACAUGCUUUGCUAGUUCGACACAUCCUGAGGGAUCUACUCCAAUUUUCGCUGCAGUUAAAAAAAUAGUAUUCAGAAGUAUGUUAUGAGAAACAUAUAAUGCACGUGACUGAUCACCAAGAACAGUUAGCAUCAUUGUGUCAGAAAAUCUGCAGCAUCAGAGAAACCAAAAUGGGGACUAACUGAAUGGCCUACAAGCAUGUGUGGAAGUAGUUUAAAUUAUCCAUUAAAAAUAGGAAUGGUCCUGUUGCAACAACGAAGACACAUUAUUGAUCAUUAUUUUAUAAUUAUUUUAUCACCAUGGCAAAAAUAGAUAUGGCAUAUGCUAUGAGUUAGAGACAUACCUUUUGUUAUUGUCAUCUCAAUCUAGUCGGCUUAAAUAAGUUGAUCCAUAAGCUAGAUUAUAUAAUCCUGUAAGGAAAUAAACAGGGCCUUACAAUGUCAUGCUUGUGUUUAUGUACACGUGCUAGCUAGUUAUCUAAGGCUAGAUUUCACCUGCACAAUAUCAUGACGAGGAACCCUCGGAAGUGGUUCAACUUUGUAUCCCUUGGCUGACAUGACUUCCGCAAUGAGCAAACCUCCCUGUGGAUCAUAUUAUAUCAUCAAGUGCAUGCAUUGUAUCUCCACCCAUUUGCAGUUAGCAAACCUACUUUUACUGCUUCUCCAACCAUUUGCGGACCAAGAAACAGGCCUUGAAACAGCGCACGCAUAACAUGGCCAGGUGUUGACCCAAAUUCCACCCCAAGGCCAGGUGCAGAUAGACGGGCUGCAGCUGCUUCGACUAAAUGCUCCUUCCCAGCAACAUAACCACCACAAGGCGCAAUAGUUCCACCUGGAUUCUUUAUCAAACUUCCAGCAAUCAAGUCUGCUCCCUGCCAUGAAACACGAGAUGAAAAAGGAAUCGUCUUCAGGAGGAAGUGAAAAUCAUGGACAUACCACCAUUGCAGGUUCCGAUAUCUCAACAAAUUCACCAUAGCAAUUAUCAACCAUCACCAUGCAGUUUGGAUUUUGCAUCUGCAAUGAUAUCAAAACCAGAAAAAAAUUGUCACCACAGAGAAAAGCUACUAUAGAUACAGAAGGUUGAUGGUCACAAAACACAACAAUCUUGCCUUGAUCAAACCUAUAGCUUUGUGAAUAUCUGCUACACUUAAGCUCUUGCGCCACGAAUAUCCACACGAUCUCUGUAUGAAGGCACACCCAGUUUCCGGCCUGAUGGAGCAAGCAAGAGCAUCCCAAUCAAGGCCACCAUCUGCUACAAGCUAUAACUUUAGUCUCAUCAGUAACCAUCCACACUUCCACAGGCUACAGCACAUGGCGACACACAGUAGGCACUACAGGGUAGUGAAGAGAGAAAUUGACGCACCGGAACUUCUCGGUACGUCACUCCGAAAUCCUUGAGUGACCCUACAUUGGCCGACCCCCUGAUCCCAAUCACCUCCUCCAAAGUGUCGUACGGGGGCCCAGCGACUGCCAGGAGCUGCAGGAAUCCAACAUUAAUCAGUCUCAACUCUCAAAUGUCACUGCCAAGAAUAGUUCAUUCAGUUCAUCCUAUCCCUACCUCAUGCCCAGGCCUCAGAAGCGCAAACAACGCACAGGCAAUGGCGUGGGUACCGGAGAAGAACUGGCAGCAGUGGAGCAAUUAGUUGAUUGAUUCAUCAAAGAGGAGAGGAGCUCGGUUACACAGUACUGUAACCAUAAAAAACGAGAUUGUGUUGUGUGCGGAGGUGGGACCUGCGGGCGCACAAUGGCAGCCUCCGCGCCAACAAUGUCGGCGAAGACGGAGUCCAACGCUUCCCGGCCGCCACCGUCGUCGUGGUCGUACCCCGUGGACCCACCGAAAUGCUGAAACAAACACACGCCACAAACGUGACUCUGUGUUCACCUGCGGUGUGAGCUCAGAUGCCAAGCAGAGGACCAGGGUGAAACGAAGGGGAGCUCGGAUGCCAAGCUUAAUCAAUAUGCUCAACACAGCUAGCACGCAAAUUGCAAACAUGUAAGAACAUCUAUAGACAGCUCUACAAAGACAGAUAUCGUUUUCAUUAAGAACUCAUGAAGUCACAAACUUAGUAAAUUACCAUUCAUUAAAACUGAGGUAGUUCAAAAGUUCAUAAUAAACAUGAUCGACAGCUGUAUAGACAACAUCCUUCAAAAGCAUUCCAGCAGUAACAUAUGUUUCUUAUGGUGGAGAAACAGACAUAGCUUCACGAAGAACAAAAACAAUUGGAGCUAAAAGCUAAACUGACACAUGAUAAUUUGAGCAUUAAAGCAUUCAAUAGACUCACAACCACGAUGAAAAAAGGCUUCAACACAUGGCCGUUUUGUCUCGGUCCACUGAACCAAAUUCUGCUCGUGGCGAAAGGAAUCAUGAUUUUCUGACCACUCUUCCAAAUCCUUUACUGUGUACAUGAAGUAUCUACAAAAUAAUUGCAGCCUUCUAAGGUACUUGAAGGAUAAAAAAUCUUAAAUAAAAAGAUAAAUAAGAUACAAAUGAACAAAACAUCAUGUGUGUGGAACCGCAGAUGUAAUAUGAAAACCAGGAAAAUUACAAAAUAUUCAAUGUCGCUCGUUCUACUGGUAAGACACAAAUGGAUUUAUUAAGCAUGGCAUGGUUCAUUAGACACCAAGCUGGACACAAGAAAACCGAGAAGGGACUAUCACAUAACUUUUGCACGGGUUUGAUCAGUCUCAGCCAAGUUUACUAUCUAUGUUUAUUGGUUAAAUUGAACUAAAAUUGCCACACAUGUUAUGUACAGAUUCACGGAUCAAUCACAUGAAGGGAAAGUGCGCUAGAAAGAUAUGCAUGUUUCCCGUUAACAAAGUCACCCACAAACUAAACAGAGAUAGUAAACUUGCCUCAAUGCUCAACUAUUCUAUAAUCUAUUUUUUUACUCAGCUAUAUCCCCACCAGAAAAGAAUUCAGUUGUUGAAUCAUCAUAACCAAUCUUCUAUAUAUGCAUCAGAGAAUCAGAGAUCUCAAGGUAUAAUUCAAAGAAUCAGAGAUCACACUGGAUACUUAAUUUCUAUCUAUACAAAAGUGGUAGUUGGUGUUAGACGCUUCCCUGCCGAUGCGGAAGAGCUCGAUGAGGUUGUAGAACUGGCCGUGGAUGUCACCACACAUAGUGACGGGGCAACGCACGGGCUGUACGUUCCACUCCUCGAUGAGGAUCGCCUAUGCCUGCUCGCAUAGCGCCUUGACCUCCACUGCCUGCAUGAACUUGCAAUCCCAUAGCUACGAGAUCUGGUGGUCCAGAUCCGUGUGUGACGGCGUCACCACUACGGUUCUGCUCUACCUCAUACAUCCCCUUCCCUCCCCUUACCUAGUUCCUGCCGCUGCCACCCCAGCAGGCACAGCCGAGGAGGAGUAGGACCCAGCAAGGCCGCCGGUGUGGAGGGGUGCUAGGGGUAUUUGUUUUGCGGGGAAACGCGGGCAGGAUGGUGGGUGGAUCCGUCGAGAUCCUCGGUUCCCUUGCGAUAGAAGCGGAUGGCGGGCGGCACGAUAGGCGAGAGGUAGAGUGGGCAGGGAAACACGAAGGGCGGGAUGGCGGGUGGGGAAACGCGGAGCUCGACGCGAGAGGGGCGGGUUUGCAGAGCUGGGCCGGCCAAGAUCCUCGCAUGUCUGCGAGGAGAGCAGGCUGGAGGUUGGCAAGGCUCACAGCGAGGAGAUCGAGCUGGUGGUUGCCUGGUUGGUGCGGAGCUCGGCCGACCGAGAUCGUCGCGACGAGGAGGAUGGAGGUUGCCGAGCGCAUCGGGGACGCCGUGGAUCCUGGAGCGCACGAACCGGCGGUAGAACCCCUCGAGGUCCUCCUCCUCCGACACAGAGACGCCGUCGAGGGUGAAGUCGCGACACCCGUCGGCGUCGCCGCGCACGGCACGGCCGUCCCGCCCCACGCGAACUCCAGCGCGGAUGAGACACCCGAGGUGAGGUUCCGGAUGCGGCCGAUCACCUCGACCGGGUGCUCCGUGGCGCCGCCGCCCUCGUCGGCCCUCCUCCACCGCCAUCUCCCGUCGCGUCCACCGUGUGCUCAGCAGGCGAUGGAGUCGCCACCAGGUGUCGCGGCGUGGCUGGAGGCGGAGCAGACCGCCCCGUCUUCGCCCUAGCUAGGGCUGCGAUGGGAAGAGAGGGAGACUGCCCCGUCUGCAGGAACCGGAUGUGCCAUUGGGAGGGGAGGGGACGGGAGGCAGGGCGGCGGUUGCGGGUGGAAGCUGGCAAGCGGCGAGCGGGAAGAUGGAGGCCGCGGGUCGGGUGGCGGCUGGUAAGCGACGAGGGCGCUGGAGACCACGGGACUGCUGAAGAUUAGGGUUUUCCAUUUGCCGUAUGUCAUGGGCUGCGGUGCGCGGGAUGGACUGCGGGAUCGGACGGCUGAGAUUUACACGAUAGAAUGGACGGCUGAGAUCGCAGAACGGCAAAACGGCAGAACGACAGACUACCCUUACCUUCUUAAUAAGUAGUAGAGAUUUGUCACGAGCGAGAACUGUUGUCAUUUCAUGAGACGUUACUCGGGAUGCACUUGUAACGGGAUAGUGUAGUAGCAAGCAUAGGAGUAAGGAGUUUUGCUAGUCUUCUUCAGCUUCAGUAGUUCAGUCCAAUCACAGAUCGCAGUACAACUGAACCCGCCUCCCGCACAAGGCAUCCAGGAUUUGUUCGGCCUUCGGACUUCGGAGGGUAGAGAAUCGAAGCGACGAGAACAAAGCAAUGAACGAGGCGGUGCAGGAGGCGAAGCUGCUGCGGCAGGUGAACGCGCUCAUCGUGGCACACCUCCGUAGCCAGAACCUCGGGCAGGCCGCAGCCGCCGUCGCCGCCGCCACCAUGACCCCCAUCUCCGCUGCCGAAUCCGUCCCCGCCAAUCACCUCCUGCGUCUCGUGGCCAAGGUCCCCCCAUUCUCCCCUUCCUCCUGCCUAGUAUUUGUUCUGAACGGGCCUAAACCCUCAUUAUUGGUUCGCAGGGCCUCGCCGCGGAGCACGGAGGAGGUGACGCCGCUUCCGCAUUCGACUCCGCCGGGUUCGGUGUGGCGGUGCAGCCGCCCGGCUCCAGUGCCGUGGAUUUCAGGUAAACCCCAACCUUGCGCACCCAUGGUGUUGCCUAGUGGCUUGCGGCAGUGUUUUUUCUGGUGCCGGACAGUGAUUGGCGAGGAGUGUUGACGCUGGUGCUGUGUUGUGCAGUAUUCAGGAUGUCAAGGGCUCAUCCAAAAGCUUCCCCAAGCACGAGGUGAAGCAUGUCUCUGACCAUAAGGUGCAUAUGAUUCAAGUUUUCCCUUGCUAAUGCGCCACUGCAAAUACUUUUGUGUCACUCUCCUGCCCAUCUGGAUAUUUGCUACUAUUUUUGAACAUUUUGCACUCGCCACAGUAUCAUGAUUAUGUAUACAACUUGAGAUUGACCCAGCCAUAGAUUUUACUGAUGUUCAUUGGCUUAUCAAGUUACCAUUGUAUUUGUCUGUAGAACGCUGCCCGGUGUGUGAAAUUUAGUCCUGAUGGAAAGUAUUUUGCAACUGGGAGUGCUGAUACAUCCAUUAAGUUUUUUGAGGUAAACUUGUUGGGUACUCGGCGAGCUUGUACUGUUUUGUACUUAGUUGCAACUUGCAACUCACUAUUGCUCUCUCUUGCAGGUUGCUAAGAUUAAGCAGACUAUGGUAGGAGACUCUAAAGAUGGCCCUGCCAGGCCUGUGGUACGGACAUUUUAUGAUCACACACAGGUGAGCAUGUAUUGUUCAUAUAUGACACUUUAUACAAAUUGUUUAUCAAUGACUGAAGAAUAUGAACUUUCUACUUAUGAUCGUCAUGUAUUGAAUUACAAUCAAAUUGCUUUGAGUCGGUUACCAAUCUCCAUAAUGGGAGAUUACACAAUUCAAACAAUUAAGAAUUCGCCUCAACGGAAGCUUAUGUAGAUCGACUGAAAAGACGAUUCCAUUUUCUUUCUUGUUCAAGGUCGUGAGACUCUUUUCAACACUUCCACAAGAUUGCCCCUGAGUUAGGUCUCCUGCAGUAUCCAUUUCCUUGAAUAUGCUGAGAGCUGCAUACCAUUGCAUUAUAGAAAGACUGAAAUACAUGUGUAGAUCAAUUCCACCUGCCACCACACUUAUAUACACAUACUCAAGUCACGUUUAGCACACUGGAUGCACACCUAGCACAUGCAGUUUAUAGUUAUAUAUUUGUUUACUGAGUUGUAUGGAGCAUUGACAUGGUAUUCAAUUUUUUAAUAAACAACAUUUUUUUUCCAUUUUCACUAGUUGCUUACUUUUUUUUCCCACUUCUCGAUAUUCCACUGUGCUUGUAAACAUGAUUGAUUUUUUGCAGGCCAUCAAUGAUCUGGAUUUUCAUCCUGAGAGUCCAAUACUGAUAUCAGCUGCAAAAGACAGUACAAUAAGGUAUAACCUUGAUGUCUACACUCUGUGCUGUUAAAUUGUCUAUUUGAAUUGCUCAUACUGAGAUUAAGCAUGAUUUUUUAAGUAAAUUCUUUUGGUAUUAAUUGCUAUCUGUGAUGUUGUUUUGUACUUGAAAAAAUUCGCUCAACAGAUUCUUUGACUUUUCAAAAACCAAUGCGAGGAAAGCGUUCAGAGUUAUUCAGGUUGUAAAUUCUAGCAAACCGAUCUAUCUAUAUAUCAUGUUAAAUAGUGUGUUCAAUUGUUCAUUGCAUUUAACCAGGCUCAUUUGUUAAUGCUGGGCAGGAUACUCAUAAUGUUAGAUCUGUAUGUUUUCAUCCUUGUGGGGAUUACCUUUUAGCAGGUAUUUAAAUUUGAUUUCUACUUCUGCUGUUAUUAACUGAUUCUUGAUUUCUGAUAUCAUUUUUUAUUUGCUCUGAUUUUUAUGCAUUAUAAGUUGUUAACACACUUUCAGUUGUUAUCUGUAAAGUAAUUUAAUCAUUUCACCCAAAACAAUUUGAUAUUCAGGCUUAAGAAUUUGGAUUUCAUUCCUGGAUUAACAGUUUCUAUCUCUUGGGCAUUUGAAAAAGAUUGCGAUCAUAUCUUAUGGAUUUUUCUUCUUUCAUAUAGUCAAAUAUUUCAUUCACACGCACACGCACGCGUACACAUAUUGAUGAAUAUCGUGGAAGCAAGUGACACUGAUAAAAUUAUUUGCAGGGACUGAUCACCCAGUUGCUCAUUUAUAUGAUAUAAAUACUUUUACAUGCUACUUAUCAGCAAAUGCACAGGAUUCUAGUUCUCCCAUUAACCAGGUAGCUUUUCUCUUUCCAUCUGAUUCUCAAGCAUUAGAUUGCAUUGGUUUUAUUCUCAUCAAAGGUUAAUUUUACUCCGCUAGCCGUGCUUACUGAUGUCGCUGCCAGGUACGCUACUCUUGUACUGGGAGCUUGUAUGUGACUGCUUCUAAAGAUGGUUCUCUGCGCAUUUGGGAUGGAGUAUCUGCUGAAUGUGUUCGACCUAUUAUUGGAGCACAUGGAUCAUCAGAAGCUAUUAGCGCGAUUUUCACCAAAGAUGAGAGGUAAGUGAGCUACCAGUAUGUCUAAGGUGUUCUUCCCUCAAGAUAUAAGAUCCAGCUAUUGUUUGGUUUGAAGAACAGAGAGAAAGACAUAUGCUGCAUGUUUGACUCAAGACAGUAACUACCUCAAACCCUGUUUGGAAUGUGGGAAUCUUGUAGUAAUUCUGAAUGAUUUGUAACAUGUCAUGCAGAAUCUCGUGUGUUUCAGACAGGUCUUAACUCUAUGACACGAAUAGCAACUAACAUCUCUUUCUCCUUUUCUCUAAUGUUUCUCCACUAAACUAAUCUGCCUAUAAGCACUUUUGAGGCUUCUUCUAAAAGGCCUAGUUUUUAAUGUUAUGAAUUGCACUAUAUUCAAUAUGAGAGCACUAGUCCCGAAUACAUACACUAGAGAUCGUGUGGAACAAGGACCUCCACAUAUUAGAGUGAACAAGAUCAAAAGGAUGUUGAGAAACAAACUCACUAGAACGGUAAGGAGGUUGUAUCUACUUUUCUAACUGACAACCCUAACACUGAUGUAAAGACCUACAACCUAAAACAGAGCCUAAAAAACCAUGACUAAUCGAAGUGGUAAUGGAGAGCCACAAAUAUGGCCUAGAUGAUGAUGCCACUGAACAAAAGACGAAAUCAACAUAGUCAAAACGACCCUAGCAAGACUGACACACGUAGCAGAAGUAAGACAAAGCUAGUAAUACUCUUAGGGUGCGUUUGGUUGGGGAGCCAACUGGGAUGGAGCGGCUCCAUUCCAGUUUCUAAGAAUUGAGCCAUUUCAUUUUGUGUUUGGCAAGCAGAACGGAACCACUCCAUUUUUUGUUUGGUUGAAGAGUAGAAUAGAGCGGAGCCGCUUCGUUUAUUGUUUGGUUGGAGAGCCAUAUGACUGUUGAGUGGAGGAAAGGGAUGAGAGCACUCGCAUCUGGUCGUUUUGGUGGAGCGAGAGCAUCCUAAAUAUUUGCUAUUUAUAGACUCAAGGAGCCGCUCCGCUCUCCUCCAUGGUAACCAAACAUCAAAAAAAUAAGAAUGGAGCCGUUUCAUUCCCCUCCGCUCCUCAAUCAAACACACCCUUAGAUGCGCUAAGAGUCCUGACAAUGAGGGCCAAUACCAACCAGGUGAUAUGUGCUUCGAUUCUGACACAACAAAAUUCUAGAUCAAGAAUAACACGAUAGUUAUUAUCAAUAAUUUGGUCAGCAGACAUGAGCUACAUGGUCAAAUCAGGAACAAAAGAAACAUCAGGAACCUGAGAGAAGGGUACUCUGACCAACAACGCAAAGGGAAGACCUGUUAGCAGUAUGGACAAUGAGAGAACGAGAUGAAGGACUCACAUCUGAAAGACAAAUGCAACGAGGAGUUAUAUGAAAGUAAGCACCAGAGUCUAUCCAAGGACAAGUACUUGAAGUGGAAGGGAGAGAUGGCCCCUUAAUGGAAGACAGAACUAGUAACAGAACCUGUAGGUGUAGGACUGAGUCACAGAACCAACAAAUCUUGUAGAUGUAGAGGCCGCAAGGUGAUGAAGUAGCCUCCAUAGUGGUAGUCAAACUCCCCCGAGAUCCUAUAGUACCAGCACCACCAGUACCCUAUGAAGAACGGCGAGCCUAAGCCUUCUUGAAUCAGUAGUCUUCCACAUACCCGUCACAAUCACAUAAGCACAAUGAAAAUCACCACGUUCCAUGCACAAAAGGCGCAACUGAAGACGACAUUGUCACUGUAGUAGCAGGUGAUCGUGAAGACAAAGAACUAACAAAGACUGCAACAGGCUAGCAUUACACAGACGAGUCUCUUCAUUACAGACACUAGCAAGCACAUCAAUCAGAGAGACACAAUGAUGAUGAGCGAGCAACUGAGCACAAAGGGGUUCAAACUCAUUACGAAGCCGGGUCAAGAAGUCGUACGUACGACGAAGCUCAAGUGCAACCUUCUAACCCUGGCAAGACUGACAAGUAUCUGGUGACAUCUCGGGACAACUGACACCAAAUAACAAUCAUCUAAGCGAAAAACUCAUCAAUUGUAGAAUCUCGAUUUCAUAAGAGUUGGUCCCAGUGAAUAGUAGCAAGAUAGGUAGACUAAGUAGUAGGCUCAUAAUGACCACACAAAAGGCCACAUCCGAUGUUUACCAAACACACAAACAUCUCGCUGUCAUAAGACCUGCUCCCGACGAAUAGUAGCAAGGUAGGUGGACCGACUAGUAGGCUCAUAACGGUCAUGCAAAAAAGGCGACAUCUGAUGUUCAAACUCAAACUCAACAAUAUUAGCAACAAGACGACCCUCCAUACUAGAGGCUAGAAUAACACUGACACGAACAUCCUUAUCCAAUCAAGUCAUGUAAGCACUAAACUAAGAGUCAUAGGAGGAAUCUGAUCAUCAUAGUCUGCGAGCAACUCCUCGUCAGUAGCCUUCUUUAGAAUCACUUGCGAUGUAUGAGUAGUGGGACAAGUAGGGCACAACGAAUCACUAGUGAGGAACUCCCAAAGGCGCAAACCACACAUGUAGACGCAUGCAUGAAACCUAGCCAUGAUAAUUGGUGUCAUUAAAAGCAUCAUAAAUCAUAGAACUAGAACACUACCAGACAAAGAGGUCAAAGACGUGGUCAUAGCAGCAGUUGACUCUCGACAGCGAGAGUGGAGCAACGACAGGCCUCGACAAAAGCGCAAAAGAAAAGCGGCACCAACUAAUUUUUUUUACCGGAACCUUAUAAAAACGACUAGAACCAAAUUUGCAAACUCGGAUCCGACCAAAACGGAUUCGGAAGGGGGUCUAUAUGCGCGAGCGGAAUACAACAACAGCACACAGACGACAGGCCCGAGCGGAACUCGGCCUCGCAUGGGAGCAGAGCAUUGGGUGUCAUUUCAUGAGGCCGUAACACGUGCAAAUGCGAUAGGUGAGAAAAAAUCGUAGAGAAGGAAGGAACCCUAACCCUAAAAAUUGGCUCUGAUACCAUGUUAUAACUUGCACUAUAUUCAAUAUGCGGUCAUUAGGCUCGAAUAUAUACACUGAUAUAUGAUAGAGAAUGUGUAGAACAAGGAUUCUAUAUAUGAGAUCGAAUACGAUAGGGACAUAUUCACAAACAUCUAACAAGGACUAUAUAUGAAACCAAAUACAACAAGGAUAUGUAUAGACAUCUAACAGUUACAAAGUUAUAUACAGUGUGAAUGCACUUGUAUAUAAGGGUGUGUUUGGUUUGGCUUUUGCCCCAUAUAAGCCAAAAGCCAAAGCCAAACCAAAAGGUUGGAUCCAGGAAGCAGUUUUUUUUGUAAAAGCCGACUUUUUCGCAGUGCAAAACUGAAAGCACCCCUGGACCUGCUUUUAGUGGCUUUCGGAUAGAACUGUGAAAACAUAUAUCGAAAAACUUUUAACGGCUUUUAGUGGUUUCCACCAAACGGUUUUUAGUUUUUUAACAGCUCACAGGCCAUAACAACUUUUUUCACAGCUUACAACCCACAACUUUUUUCACAACCACAGCCCAACCAAACAGAUCCUAAGAUUGAUCCAAAUAAUAUGAUGUAGUGAACUUUGACUACCCAAAUUACAUGUUUAGAUAAUGUUCAUGGAUUUCAUAAAACUGUGCACUGUAUUUUGGCUAUAUAUUAUGAAGUUUACUGUGUUCUUUCAGGUACGUCCUAUCUUGUGGGAAAGAUUCUCGUGUCAAGUUAUGGGAAGUUGGCACUGGACGACUUGUGAAGCAAUAUGCAGGAGCAAUUCGCAGACAAUUUCGUUGUCAGGUUAGAUUCUCCGUGUUUUUGUAAGAUUAUCAUUUUUUCUGAUUUAAAUUUACUCGUGUGUCAUACAUAUUCUUUUUUACCCAAAGUUUAGGAAACAAAAUAUUGCAUUUUUAAUCCGGAAAUAGCCUGGCUUGAGCUUCUAAGGAUAACAACGUACCUAACUUCUAUGAUAAACGAUAAAUAUGAUAAUAACUGUUCUUACUAUCCAGGCUGUCUUCAAUGAAACCGAGGAAUUUGUGCUAUCAGUUGAUGAACAAAACAAUGAGGUAAAUCUCAAUUUCAGAACAGUAUAUGUAUUUGUAGUUCAGCAGGGAAAUAGAGCUUAACUAUGAUAUGUCACUCUUCAGGUUGUCGUCUGGGAUGCACUUACUGCUGAAAAGGUUACAAGAUUGCCUUCUGGCAGCACUGGUGCUCCUAGAUGGCUCGACCAUUCCCCAGUUGAGCCAGUUUUUGUUAGUUGUGGAAACGAUAGAUCGAUCAAAUUCUGGAAACAAACCGUAUAAGCUUGUAGAUUCAACCACGCAAAUCAAAAGAGUAUGUUUUCAGUAUUACUGUUUCAGGAGGAAUGUGCUAGUGUAACUUUAGUUGUAUAUGGGAGAAAUUUGCAUAAGCGAUUUUUUUUUGAAACUGCAUAAGCAAUUGUUUGACCUAAUAGCAAAUCCCAAUCAGAUGUUUUUUUUUGGUUCUGCAGAUGCCAGUUAUAUGAACCAUUGACCUGAUUUUUAUUGGUCAGCCUCCUUUCGAUGUUCUGUUAUUUUUAUCCCAUUGUGGAUUGCGGGAUAUUUCGGUCGCGUUUAGUUUCAUUAGUUUUAAGACUAAAGUUAAGUCCAUAUCGUGUUUGGUUGUAUGGACUAAACAUAUUCUAAAUAUAUUAAAUGUAACAUAUAAAGACAAAAAUACACUUUUUAGUGUUUUCUAUGUAUGACGUCAGUUUUCUAGUCACAGACAAUUAGCGUAAAUGUUGCUUUUUAGUCACUUUUAGCACCCAUGUGAGGGACUAAAGACUAAAACCAAUUAGUCUUUACUUUAGUCCUUCCGUUUGGUAAAAUAAGGACUAAACAAGAUUAAAAAUUAGAAAACAAGAUUAAAAAUUAGAGAUUAAAGAUUAGUCCCUCUAAUCAAAUAUGGCCUUCUUCUUAGGAUGUAAUGUGUAAAUUGUAAUGAUGGUUUCACCCUACCACGUGUGAUGUGGAAACAUAUAUGCCAAUAAAGACUAGUUUGGAAGCCAGAAAACCGCAGGGGAUUGAAAGGGCUAGAACGCUCUACUCCUCCAAUUCCAACUAGACCCGGAGAGGAUUAAAGAGGCUAAAAUUCACUCCUUAUUCAAUUUUAAAUAAGAAGGUGAUUUUAAGCCCUUCAAUACCCUCCGGAUUUUAGACUUUCCCUAAACGUUCUACCAUCCAACAUCUUCCCACCGGUAACUAGCUCUAAACGUUCUCCCACAUCGUUGCAUUGUUUUUUUUUUCAAAAUGAUCUCGUGUGCAACCGUACAAAUGCAACUGAGAGGAGGGAAAUGCGAGACCCUUCAGUCCUCGAAGCUCUCUGGACUGUGGGUGAUUGGGUGUGGUCGUGUGGGCCUAAAAUGGGAUGGCCCAUCCAAGCCCGACCCGUAUUUGCCAGAUUCGAGUGAACUGGAUCCAACUAAACAAACAAUUUUCCCCAUUUGCCAUUCCCGACGAGCACCUUCACCGUCUCCUCCCAGUCCCACCUCGCGUGGCACGCCAUGGCUUUCUCCCCGCGCUCGCCGUGGUCGCGUGCCAAGAAAACCGACGUCUACUCAACCUUCGUUGUCCACGGCGAUGACGAUGAAGACGACGCCCGCGGCGGCAGGGGCCCCUCCACGCGGGCGGAGGAAGACGAGGAGGAAGACCCCUCCUCGCUGCCUCCGCUUCUUCAGCGGCUCCCCAAGGACUUUGGCGGCGCCUCGUUCGACGACGACGAGGACCCCUACUCCUCCGACCCUGACGAUGCUUCCCUCUCUGCCACGGCGGCCUUCAAGAGCGGCGUCCCGGCCUCCGGUCGAUCUCCGUUCCUGGAUCUGCGGCGCUCAAGCCCCCGCGCUACCGAUGACGACCCGUACUCUACCUUCGUCGUUCAUUCCACCACACGCUCGGGGAGAACCUCCUCCAGCCCUCGCGGGUCCGCCUCCGGCACAUUCAUCCGUCGCUCGGGUGGCUCGUCUAGCCCUCGCGAGUCCGUCUCUGGCACAUUCAUCCGCCGGACCGGCAGCCCGUCGAGCCCCGGGAAGUCAGCCUCCGGCACAUUCAUCCGCCGGCCAGGGAGCCCGUCGAGCCCCCGCGGGUCGUUCUCUGGCACCUUCAUUCGCCACACCAGCGGGGGCUCCAGUUCCCAUGAAUCUGCCUCUGGCGGCGGCGGGGGUUUCGGGUCCUCUUUCUGGACUCCAGCGGUGGAGCAGUCAGAGGAGCUCCGGCAGCCAUCGCCUCUGAUGCAGCAACAACAGCAACAACAUUCAAGGCGGAAGCCAUCGGUCAGCUCGGUGCCAGACAGUGUUACCAGGGAGGAUCCUUCCACCAAGUACGAGCUGCUCCAUGAGCUUGGUGCGACUCUUGCUCUGGAAUUAUUAUUUCAUUAGUUCUUUAUAUGUCUUUUUGUAUAAUGCCUGAAAUUUUGAGCUAUUUUGCGCAAUGCAAAUUCAAUUGGAAAUGCAGGGAAAGGUUCAUAUGGUGCAGUGUACAAAGCAAGGGAUCUCAGAACGCAGGAGCUUGUGGCUGUCAAGAUCAUCUCAUUAACAGAAGGGGUUAGUUUCUAGCUUCUUAUUACAAAGUUCUGUGAAUAUUCCGGAAGGCUACCCAAGACAUAUUUCAUAUUUGGCAACCAUAUUGCUUUUGUUGUGAGCAUUUUGUUUGCAUGGGCUUAAUUGUGGGAGAAUCUCAUAAAUGUGGUUGCUUUCUGAUUUCUGAGUCCUUGCAUUUUUGUCUUUAAAAUAUAAGCAUGUAUCUCUGGCAUUCAGGAAGAAGGCUAUGAAGACAUACGGGGAGAAAUUGAGAUGCUGCAGCAAUGCAGCCAUCCAAAUGUUGUCCGCUACUUUGGAAGCUACCAAGGAGAGGAGUACCUAUGGGUAUAAAUAAUCAAAUAGCCUGCUUGUAUCCAUUUUAUUAAUAUUAGGAACUAGCCAAACUUUUCUAUCAUUGUGAGAUUUAUCUAGUUGUCAACUCAUUUAACAUGAUCUUGAUGCAAAUGUGAUUCUCAACCUACAGAUAAUUAUGGAAUACUGUGGUGGUGGAAGUGUUGCUGACUUGAUAGGCAUCACAGAGGAGCCUCUUGAUGAAUCCCAAAUAGCUUACAUUUGUAGAGAAGCACUAAAGGUUCUAACACCACAUUUGUGGGGCAAUUAAAUGUCUUCGGAUAUUUAACUUUUGUGUGCUUAUUUUCUUCUCCAGGGCCUUGCUUACCUGCACUCCAUUUUUAAAGUUCACAGAGAUAUUAAGGGGGGCAACAUCCUUCUAACUGAGCAAGGCGAGGUGAAGUUGGGUAAGCACAUUUGUUUGUUCAUUUUUUUCAUUUUGUUGGCACUUGAUAUUUCUGCAUGUCUUGACUUCUGUGUUUGACAUGCUCAACAAUGUACAAACAGGUGAUUUUGGUGUAGCUGCCCAGCUGACAAGAACCAUGUCAAAGCGCAACACGGUAUUCUUAACAGUGUUUCUUUUGCUACUUCAAAUUCCAAAGUUCAAGAAACUUCACAUCGAUGUGACAAACAAAAUGAAGUGCAGAUGAAACUUGUCAAUGCCAGUUUACUAUAAGAUGCCCCAUUUGUGCUUGUGCAUGGUUCUUUAAUAUGAUGAUACUUUGAUGAGAACUUGAAACAAGUUCGUGUUGGAAAAUGAUCGAUGUGAAGUCCUAGCUAUUUCUGUUAAGUGUUAUAUUGAAAAAUAGGAAUGUGUAUAUUUCAUAUAUAAUAUAUCUUGCUCAAUUCUUCCUUGGCAUUCUUCUGUUUUUCGAAACCCAUUCGUGACAGCCUCUAGUCCCCAAAUAUCCCAUUAUGAGUUUGCUCAUUCCCCCAUUUGGCUUCUUCCUUGGCCACUAGCCCACCACUCAACAAUUCUUCUGUUCUUGAUGACUGCGAGGCUCAUUUCAAGCUGGCACAUUGCUGCCCUGCUGGAGCUAUUGGAGAAAGUAGAGGGUUACUGUGACAGUAGCAUAUCAAAUCAACAGUUGUGGAAAUCAUAAUAUAAAGACGUCCAAAUUGGGAAAUAUUAUUCAGGGUGUUAUCAUCCUACUGGCAGGUGGCCCCUGCCCAAUAUGUCAUCUUCACUAUGGAUGGUACUUUCAUCUUUUUUCCUCACUGUUAGGGAGUUGGUGCACUGGGAGUCCAAAUCAGCUAGGGUAGUUCAUAGUUGGCUAGAUCUAGGAGGUACGUUGAGUCAGAGUUUGGAAAAUCAGGGUAGAGUACAAGUUCAGGUUCUCUAGGACGAUGAUAUAAUGUAGUACUAUACUAUAAGUGUUGUGGUGGCUGUUUUUGAGGAAGGUAAUGCUUGGUGCUGGGCUUAGGGGCCUGCUCUCACCACACCUAUAGAAUAGUUCUUGGUCGUCGUCCCCAGUACUGCUGCCAGUGUUGUUCUAGUGGCUGGGGUGUGUUUUGCUAGUCAUGACUGCCCUGACUGGCCUUGUGUUGGGGGGGGGGCAUUUGUUGUCCCCCCCCUUGUUGUAUUGUUUCCUUCUUAAUGAAAUGACACGUAGCUCUCCUGCGUUUGCUCAAAAAAAAAAGAAUUGACUGGAAUUUAUCAAUAUCUAGAAAGAAACCAAAAGAAAAAAAAAUCAAUCUACUCCCUUUCUACUGCUGUUGAUACUUCUUGUUUCUCUUCUACACGUUCUAGGCAGCUACACUUCUCUAGUUUCCAACCAUGGCAAUACAUAAAUGCUUGAGUAACCCAUAACUAAUAGUUCUACAUCCAACCAUUUCGUAGUAGUGUGCCGGAAACAUUUGGUGUCCUCUUCUUGAUGGUAUCCAAUAUCCAUUGCUUUUCUGCAAGCACGCACAAGCAGACACUUCUAAGUACACAUACUGAUUUGUUGUCAAUUUGUCAUUGACAUGCAGCCAUGCUUUGAGCCCAGAUCCAUCAUGAUCGCACAACACAAAUCUACAUGUAUACGGUGUCUUGGAUGUUUCUGUUGUUGGGGCGUUAAUAUAUACUUCAAUCAAAAUGCAAAGAUAAAACUGUCCCGAUUUUACAGUAAAAUAACUCUAUCAACAGACUGUCAGCAUUGCUCUCUAACCUCAGUCUGUAUGGCUUUUGCCAAAUAAAAAUAAUGCAGUGUUUUUUUUGCAAAGAACAAAGGUUUUAGUGGCACACUAAUUUCCAUUAUUUGAUCCUUCAUGUUAAUGCUUUCAGUUCAUUGGUACUCCACAUUGGAUGGCACCAGAGGUCAUUCAAGAAAGUCGUUAUGAUGGAAAGGUAGCAUGCUAUUCUCUCUGCAGUGUAUAUCUAUCUAUGGAAUUGUUCAUCUUAGCAGCAUUUAUGGAUGUUGCCAUUUCACUCUAUCACUUGGCCCAUAAAUUUAUGAUUGGGUUUUUUGCUGAGUGAUUUCUUUAAUAUUUUGUUUGUUUGGGUGCGGACUGUGGAAUGUCUUUACAUAUGGCAAAACAAAGGUUACGUGUAGCUGCAAAGUCAUAAAAGCCAGUAAACAAUUUAACAAUUGUUAUGACUUAUGAAACCCCUGCCUAGUGCCAAAACAUGUUAUUUCUUUUCCUUGUCUCUUGAUAGUUCCUCUAGUAAAAAAAUAUUACUUACUACUUAACCUCUAAAACAUGCCUACUGGUUGCAAUGUGAGAAAAUUGUUUUUGCAGUUGGAUUCUUUCUUUAAUUUGUCUUACUAAAUCAUGUGUACUUGUUUUCUGCGCCAGGUAGACGUUUGGGCAUUAGGUGUAUCUGCAAUCGAGAUGGCAGAGGUAGACAUUGUUCUUUGUUUUUUUCUUUUGUGAAUUUACACCUUUUCCUUUUUGUGUCAUCACAAUGCUUUUUAAUAUUUAUUUUGUAUCUGUAGGGCAUGCCACCAAGAUCCACUGUGCAUCCAAUGAGAGUAAGCGGUGCUUCUCAAUGCGUUGUCAGUAUCUGCAGUUAAUGAGGCUAAUAGGCUGUAACCUGUAACAGAAUAAACUGCUCUAUCUUUGGUGCAGUGUACUUGUCUCUUUAAUUUCAUUUCUGAUGCAUUUGUUUUAACUUCAUCUUGCUAACUAUUUGGUAUACAUAUCAAUCUAUUAUUUCAUUUUCGUUUAGAUUGAUAGACUGGCUAACGGUCUCUCUUCCCCCUGCCUAUCUCAGGUUAUCUUCAUGAUAUCUAGUGAACCAGCACCUAUGCUGGAGGAUAAAGAGAAAUGGUGAGUGUUUUCUAGUAAUUUGAAUACGGGACGGACUCAUCAGAUCUAAUAUUUGCAAUAUCAGAUUUUUAAGUGCCUAGAAAUAGGGAUUGGCCCAGGUUUCUUGUGAUCUGCAAUGAAAUCAAUAUAAACUAGAGGCACUAAUCCAAACAAGCUCUUACUGGGAUUGAAAACUGAACAGUUAUUUGUCAAUACUAUUUUCCCAGAACUCCUUUUAUUUGUUUGGAUUUUGGGCAUACUGUAGCUUGAAGAUACAGUAAAUAGUACCAAAAGUGAAAAAAAAACAAAUGAGCAGAAAAAAAUGGUGCCCUUUUAUUAAUUGAGCUCUUGUGCUAUCUCCAUCCUCUUCUGAUUGGCUUCUACAAUCGACUGAACAUUUUGCCUAUGAUCAGAGCAGUUAUGUUGCCUGCUUAUUUUACCUUGUUGGCCUGCAUAGUAUGAGAGAGUAGCUAAUUCUAGUUACAACUUGAUGGAAGUUACAGCCAGUCAAUAUUUUUUCUUGAACUGCGCAUGGGAGCUGCAUGCCAUUUCAUUAAGACUUAAGAGAGAGAAAAGAGUACAAGAGCGAGGCGAAAACAACUCCACCCAGACCUAGUUAUAUACAAAACCCACACCACUGACUAUAGGACAUAACCAAGGGAGAUCAAAUCGCCAACCAGAAACUAAGGGGGUGUUUGAUUACCUGCAUACAUUGGGGCUAGACUCCACGGAUGCAGCUACCGAGCAUUUGGUUGCCUGGUUGGAAGUUGGGGCCCGUCCCACGCGGUGCAAGAUUUCCUCAUGAGCCAGGCUCUAAUCAUGCGGCAAAAAUCCUCGUUUCUAUGCGGCCAGGUUCGCUCAAGCGCAACAAGCGCGCUGAUGGGAAAUGUCAGUGAGAACUGAGAAGAUGCCUGCAUGCAGCUAACCAAACGAAAUCUCUGAGUAACCAGGUUCCGUGUGUACGAUAACCAGACACCGCUCAUGUGCAUGCGCUCAACCUGGCUACUAGGAGCCUGGCUGCCCAAGUACAACUUGGUUCAUCUCAAAAGGGAAACAAACAUGCCCCAAGGUUCUGUGGCAAUCAACCUUAGGAGCAUGUCCUGGAGGUUAGAAGCACCUGUCAUGCACCAAGAGCUACAUUCAUCAGGUACCUUUUGUAGAAGGCUCUGAAUAUUAGAAGGCCCCUCAAACACACAGGCAUUCCUAAAUUUCCAUACUUCUCAGGCUACCAAACUAAGAAGGGAAUUCAGCCCCUUGCACAUCUCCUUGAGUGUAUUUCUAAUGGUGACCCCUCACCAACACACGGGCAUUCCUAAUUCCUAAAUUUCCAUACUUCCCAGGCUACCAAACUAAGAAGGGAAUUCAGCCCCUUGCACAUCUCCUUGAGUGUAUUUCUAAUGGUGACCCCUCACUAUCUAAAGAAAUGAGUUGCAUUGACUGGAGGUGUUCAAGCCACCAUUGAAAGUUUCUGAAAAAAACAAGGACCAAACCUGCCAUGUAAACACACAGGAGUUAAGGACGUGCUAGAUUAGUAGAUUGUCUCCUCAGCCUGCCCACACUUGGUGAGGUGGUCAAUCGUCCAACACCAAUUAUUGAUGGUUAAUCAAAGUGUUAGAGUACCCGCUUAGGGUUUGGGGUUUACCUUCUCACCCCUGUGUAAUGGGCUAGGCCCAACUAACUCAGUCUAUUAAUACAUCACCCAACCCCUUGUUAGGGUCAGGGCUUCCACACAAAGGAAGGAUUUGCGUUUGAGAGGGGCCCUGCCCCUGCUUUUCGAGAUCCUUUUCCGCGGACCAAACAUGACAGUCAUACAGUGUUUGGUUCGACAAGCUGCUAAUUUUGUCCUUUGCUUUAAGAUUUCAUAGACCCUGAAAACAUCGGUCUCCUCGACAUAUAUGAAAUACCAUAUUCGGGACUCCUAACUUAUUUAGAGCAUACAGAUCUUUCUGAAAGAGGGAAUUGCACAACUAUUGGCUACUAAAUUUUAUUUUAACAAUUUGCUCAGACAUUAUCACACUGACACUUGUCGGGUUCUUCUUUCCCUUUAAUCCGACACGUAUGUCUUUGUCGUGACAGUGUUGUGUGUGUGUGAACUCUCUUCUAUUAAUGAAAUGGUACGGCUCUCCUACAUGUUUGAGAAAAAUGUAAGGCAAUAGAAGUUUUAAGCACAGUUGGCCUAAGUUCUUGUUACCUUGAUUUUCAGGUCUCUCCUCUUCCAUGAUUUUAUUGCAAAGUGUCUUACUAAAGACCCCAGACUUCGGCCUGCUGCAAUUGAGAUGCUGAAGGUACUUAAUUUCUGCUCAAAGAUGACAUUUAUGGUGCAUUUUCGUGAUGUCUUAAUAAUAUAUUUACUUGUUUCUAUUUUGUUGAAAUUCCCUCUGCAGCACAAAUUUAUUGAGAAGUGCAAUAGUGGAGCUUCGAAAAUGUUGGCAAAGAUCAAGGUAGCGAAGAAGAUUAGAGCCACACUAGCUGUGCAAAAUGAGCUGUCUGACCCUGACAAUGUAUGUCACAUAGUUUGUGUUAUGUGUGUUGGUUAUGCUAUUUCACUCGACGUUAGUAUUUACUUUGGUAUCUGCAGACAACGCAAGAUGUGCCUUUUCGAAUAAAUGAGGACUAUGGGGAAACUGUCCCUACAAGUUCUCAGCAACACAUGAAACAUGGCACAUAUAAUGAUUGUCAGGCAGGUAAUUUUCCUUUUUUGGGAUUUCUUUGUUUAACUAAUGCAUGAGUCAUAGCAUUCCUUUUGAAUGGCUUGUUUAACCAAUACAUGUAAGAUUAAAACCGUCUUUUUUUCUGAGUCUUUGCUUAGCAACUAUGAUGUCAAUUCAAUAUUACACAUUUUAUGGCUUGCUCGUAACUCUUUGUAUUUAUUUUAUUUAAAUAGCUACUUAGAAGUUCUUACCAAUAUCUUGGUGGGCAGGUUGUCCUAUUGUUCCUGAAUGGGACACUUAUAAAUAUAGUGCUGUUUCAUACUAACUAUGACCCCUCAUAUAAGUUCAUCAGGACAUCAACACAUCUCCAAUAUGGCACUUUGACUAACACAUUCAUAGAAACAUAUUCUGGAAUAUUAUUGUACAAUCAAUCUAUUGGCAUCAGUCUUAUGUGGUAUCUGUACAUUUAUUUCAUUUACAAACUGAUGGUCCAAGCUAAAAAGGUUUGACUUAGGAGUUAAGACUAUGGACUUAUAUGUUCUUGUCUUUUGCUAUUAGCUUUGAAACGCCCAUGAUUAUUUUCCAUAUAGGUGAUUUUGGUACUAUGAUUGUUCAUACUGAAGAUGGGGACGAAGUGACAGAAUCACCCAUUUUCCCAAGAACAGAAUUCAUACCCGGCCUUGGUAGCAUCAAUUCUUUCACACAUGAUCCAAAGAGAGCAGAACUUAUUUCAAGUUUUUGGUAUGAGAAACAUAAAUUUAUCUUAUUGUUUGUGUUGUCAGUCAUUGAAAGCAGCUUAACAAGAAGGUUUUAUUUAUCCCAUCACAAAUCUUAUGCACAGUUUCUUGAUAGGGCGGAGAACAUAGGUGAUAGUGAUGCCAAUAAAGACCGAGAUACAGAUUAUGGUCCUGACAUGCAGGAAUCAAAAGUGAUCUCACCUUUAACUGGAACAGUGAAGAAGAAUAUUGGUGCAGAAGGGACUAUAAGGUGCCAUGAUAAUCAAAUUAACUUGUCACCAGGACUUGCAAACACAACAACUAAAUUGAACAACAGCCCAAGCCGUAAAGCGUUUUCAGUUCAGGAUAAGGUAUAUCCUUCAUGGUUUAGACAUCAGCUAUUUCCCCCCUAUGUCUGAACUAGGCCAAAGUAUUUUAGUUUUUGCUACUGCUCGCCACUUUAAGCCCCAUGUCUAAUUUUCCAACGUUUCUAUGAUUUUCUCUUUGUAGCUCUGGUCAAUUUAUGCUGCCGGCAACACUGUACCAAUACCAUUUCUUAAGGCAAUUGACAUUUCACCACUAGCUCUAGUAUCAGAAAAUGAAUCAGGAAAUGGCCUGGCUGGGUCAAGUACAAAUGAUGCUUUGGAGGCAGUUAGGGAGCUGUUCAGUGGUGAUGGGCAGGCAAAGAAAGGACGGAAAGGGCAAAACGAAGUAUGCGGCAGAUUCUUUUCUUUAACUCUUGCAGAGUAACUUAUCUUUUAAUGAUUGCAGAGGGAAACUUAGGCCGUUCUUAGUGGGAGUUUCAUUCUCAUUAAAUGACAUACCACCUAAGCAAACAGGAUGACAUGGCAUGCAAUUCAAUGAAGGGGGAUAUGAGUUUCAUACUUUCAUGAGGAUGUAUCUAGACCUAGACAAAUGUUGACUUGACAGCUUUGGAAACAGUGCGAUGGAACUAUCCAUUGAGAAUGACCUUAGGCCAAUUUCAGUGGGGAGUUCUCUAACACAGUUGCCGGGACUGCCACGCCAACUUUUGUGUCUGUGCCAACGGGUUUCAUCCGAUAAAACUCCCUCUAUCUCUCUCCAUAGUUAACCUGGCAAGUCAUCAAAAUUGCUGAUGUGUAAUAGCAUUAAAUGCAAAUGAAACUCAGAUGAAACUCCCAGUGAGAUCGACCUUAGUCUAAUACUGCAUUUGGUGCAUUAGGUCCCUCUUCCUCCGGGUGUGCAUCACAGGCUGACGACAAGCCCCACAUUGAUGAACCUGGCCCAAGCUCUAGCUUAUCAUAAAACGUGAGUUUAUUUGAACUACUCUUCUGCUAGAGUAUUUAUUUUAUCGCAGUAUGACUGAAGUAAAUAGCUUUUCUCCACUGUCUUUAAAUGUUUUAGGUGCUAUGAGGACAUGCCGCUACAAGAUUCACAAGCGACGCAAGAGCAGCAAACGAUACAAAAUCUUUGUGACACACUUCGCACAAUACUGAGGUUGUAGAUCUGCAAGAGUGAAGGCUGCAACCUUUGGAGUUCCGAAGCCUGCAUGGAGCCAAGGGUGAACGUGGCACUGAUCCUGCUCGUGGUGGAGAACUGAGGAUCGAAGGAACGCAUGACAUGUGCCUACCGUGGAGCAGGCCUAAUGGCUUCUGCGUUUUAGCCUGUGGACGCUUUGGUCACUGGAAGCUGGGUUGACACAGGAAUCUCUACGGAAGUGGAAAUUUCUGUCCCUGUUAAUAGCCUCUUGGAGUUUCACUAUGUAGAGACGGCAUCAAAUUUUGCUAAUCAGAUUUUGUGGCACUAACGCAUAUUGUAGCCUGGUUUUGUAUCGUUGUCAAUGCAUUUGUUCUCCAAAUAAAGAGAAAUAGUUAAGCAGAAAUAAACGAAAAGUUAUUUAUGUUGGCUAUUCGAAAUCAUGGGAGGCGUGAUUUCUGCUGUCUUGACCCCGUAUUCCUUGUGUCUGGCCAUUGUACGCCAUGCUUCGUGUUGUUAAGUGUCAGUUUUUUUUAGCGCGCGUGUGAAUGGCGUUGGUUAUAAUUAAUUGUUGAUCAACGCCUGCUUCAGUAGAGGCCGGUGACAUCGAAAUAAUCGGGCUGUUAGAUUGUCUCUAGCAACCUUUUUAUGAAUCUUAUCUCAUCUUUUACCACUCACUAUUUUAAACUUCACUCUAUAGACAAUGCAAAAUAGUGUUUUGUAUGGUCAUAUACAUGCUCUAUUGAUUACAACUUUAGAUCAUCUCCAGACUCAAUGCAUUUUCAUCCCCUUGUACACGCUUGUUGACACUAUCCACCUCCCUAGUGCACUACCCAUCGCAGCAUCGAAAAUGGAAGUUGCUCUAUUAGUUUCAUAUCUUCACUAGCUCUCUCUCUCUUCCUAGCACUCUAAUUGUCGACAUCAUCCAUUCCUCGCGAACAUCACGUUCCGCGGCCAACUCUCUCCGUCGUGGCGCCUUCCACCUCCUCUAAUGCGCCCUCCCGUCCUCCCUUGCAACGAUGGUGCGGUUGAUGAGGCCACCUCCGUUGCCGCCUCCUAUCCACCCAUGCCCCCUCCUCUCCUACCCCCUCCCGUAUUCCCUUGCACCAGUGGUGCGACUACGACAGACCUCCUCUGUUGUCACCUAUCAUCCCCCGCAACGUCGAUUAGGGUCUCAACCCUCGUUGGAGAAGGUACCAUUGGUGAAUGAUCUCCGCCGUGAUGUUUUCCACUGCCUCUGCGCCCUCUCGUCCUCCCCUACAACGUCGGUGCGACUGCGAAAGACCUCCUGCUCCACCUCCUCCAAUGCCCUGCAGCGGUGGUGUAGCUGGUGAGGCCCACCUCCUCUGCUGCCUCCCGUCCUCCCCUGCUCUUUCCCCUUCUCUCCUUCCCCUCAUGUUCCCCUUAAGGCCAUGUUCGGUUCUACCCCAAUCCAUAUGGAUUGAGGGGGAUUGAAGGGGUUUCAAUCCCUAGUAAGUCAAAAUCCCCUUCAAUCCCCUCCAAUCCAUAUGGAUUGAAAAUAACCGAACAAGCCCUAAAGCGAUGGUGCAGAUGCAACCCCUCUCCUCAUUCGCCGGCUCUUGUCCUCCCCUACAGCGGCGGUGCGACAACGGUUCAUCUCGUACUCUGUUGCCUCUUGUCCUCCGCUGCAGCGGCUAUGCGAAUGCAUCCCACCUCCUCUUCCAUCGGCUCUCAUCCUCCCCUACAACGUUAUUUACGAUUUCAGUCGUUGAUAGAGAAGAUCCCACGGUGAUUGAACUGAGCUACCACUCCCCUGCCUCCUCCCUUCUUUUGAUCUCCUUAUUUAUCCUCCAAUGUCGCUCUGCGCGAUGUAAAGUAUAUAGAUAAUGAAUACCCAAGGAGCAUAAACAAUGAAGACGAUGACAGGUGGGAUCAAGUAAUUCAAGUUGAGUAGGAGAACUCGGACUAGACAACUUGGAUUCGGCUGUGGGACUCGGACUUAGAUUUUGUGGAUUCCACCCACAUGUCAAAACUAGAUCAACCUACAUGGACAUAUAAGGGAAGAUGGUGUUUCUUGGUCUGUUUAUGGUACUUGGACAUCCCGAUCUAUAAGGGAACCCAUACGUAAAGGUAGAUAUAGAUCUAGAUUAUAGGGAGACCAUUUUUAGGCCGAUCCUACUCCUUAUCUCGUAUGAUGCCACAUAAGUUUCCUGUAAUUGUCCCCUCCUUGGACAAUAAAAGAAGGGACGAGGCACCCCAAGAGGACAGAACAUUAGAUCGUAAGAAAUAGCCACAAACAUACAUGACAUAGGGUAUUAUCUCGCAUGGAAAGCAUGAACCUUUUUAAAUUAUCCUGUUGCUUUGUGUUUACCUUUGGUUCUCGAUCUCGUGAUCCACCCGUAUAAAUUCAUAGCUAAAAAAUCUUCAACAGUUGGCGCAAUAGGCAAGGGACCAUUGUGCUAAUCAUAUAGUAGAUCCGAAGACAGCCACCACCUUCGCACUGGGACAUGAGAUCAAUUUUGGUGACCUCAAGUUCAUUAGCGACACUACGAGAAGUCUCAAGCACACUUAGGAUAACACUUCGGCAUGCUCUACUUCAUCAGCAUCUUCUUCGGCAUGCUCUGCUUCACCAGCGACGCGUAGGGCACCUUAGGAUAACACUUGACGUCCCAACGACACCAUCACCAGAAACUUUGGGUCAAUCAAAUCCAAUCCAAAAGACGGUGCAACCAUCACAUCCGGUCGAACUCGGACUCUACACCGACUCUGAUGGCUGUGAAGACUCGAACUCCAAAUCCAUGGGGUAUCAGAUCAUGUUCAUGGCAUAUAAUGGAUGAAGAAGCCACCCCUCAUUUGAGCAUGAGGAAGACUCAACACUAGAAGACGUCAGACCCACGAAGAUCUUCUAUGGAGUUGUCGAGAAGCCCAUGACUGAAUCGAGAUGUCGAAUUCGAGGGGCAACCCAUCUACACAACUCCAAUGCAGGACCUGAUUAUAGCGAAGUUCUUAUUAGAUGGCAUCUCACCACUUCUACCUCAAGACAACCCCUAGAAUUUUGAGAACCGCAAGAAGAUCCAAAGCAUGAUGACUUAUGUUGCAGUAUGCACAUAUACCAACGUACCUCAGGUGAUAGCUCUAAAGAGGUAAAAUCUUCCCCAUAAGAUAUUAAAGAAAAGUAUGAUAAAGUUGAUGAAAUAAAUGGGGAACUCAAUACUAGACUUAGAUCUUUAAAAAUAAGACUAUGCUCAUGCUAAGAUUAAUCACGAUAAUCAUGUUAUUGCUUAUAAUCUCUUAUGUAGUGAAACACAUGUUUCUACUAACCAAAUUGCUAAGAUUGUUGUAGCAACAUCAUGUAAUGACUUGAUUGAAUAAAUUGAGAAAGACAAUUAAUACAAGGGUAAGCAAGUGGAAGACAAUAAGCUUCUUGAUGUGAUGAAGAAAACGAAUAAAAAAUGAGAAGCUUGUAAAAUAAUUGGACAUGGUAGCAACUAGAGGAAACAUUGUCAUAGAGAUAAAGGUCAAUCAUAAAUGGAUCUUAACAAUGAAAAGCUUAGGGAAGAGAAUAAAAAGGCUAGCAAGAAAAAGAAUCAUUUAGUUAUAGGCUUGCAAAAGUUCACCAAGGAAUAAUACCUCCAAAGUGAAUUUCUCAUGAUCAUGGUCAUGAAAUUGGACAUAAGUGAUAUUCAUUAUCAAGCUUUUAGAGAGAAGAAAUCACAACCAUAAAACAAAUUGAAGCAAAUCCCUAAGCCCAUAAAUGCUUUGAAUGUGCAAAAGAGGGACACUUUGCCCACAAUUGAAAUGCUACACUAUCAACCCUAUUGCUAAAGCAUUUAAUACCAUUUGCCUUCAAUGCACACUAUUUGAUUAGAAAAUAUACUAGUGGAAAGGUUAAGGUCAUGUUCUUAGGUCCACCAAACAAGAAUAGGCCUAACGAUAUUUUGGUUACUAAAUCUUUAGUUGAGAAGGUUGUAGGCUCUCAUCAAGUUUGUGUUCCUAAACGUCAAGCUUGAUCUUCCUUGUGUGUAGGUGAACUGAUAGUAGACGCGGCCCGAUCUUCCGUGAGAUACGAUAAUUUGAUUGAGUGGAGAUCUCGACGUUGAUGGUCCAAGGCUCCGAGCGAACGGUUCAUCGCAAUCACUACACCACGGCUCCGUUGGUUAUCACCCGUGACACACGAAUGACCUCGCCACGAAGGCUUAUCCCUGCAAGCACAAUCAAGAACACAAGCAAGAACAGGAAAGAAACACAACCAAAAUUGUAUUGAUUACGGGAUGGGGUCUCACAAGCCGAUGACGGCGACACUGUUCGAUGACAGAAUUGAUCUAAGCAAAACCCAAACCUAAAUGUGGCGGCGGCUACUGAGUAAAUAGAGUAUUAGGGCGUGUGUGACCCCUGGACUCACCCCUAAUGGGCUCCGACGCGAUACACGACCCAACGGCCCAACAGACAGUGUCGCAGCACCAAAAUAGAAUCUGAACGCUGACUUGUUUUGACGAUCCCCGUUGACUCCGGAUGAAUUUUAGGGUGGAACCAGUUGGGUUGGUCAGAUAAUCUAGUUAUCUUUCCAACCAUAUCCAAUCCAUCGCAAUCGGAGUCCGGAUGCAUCUUGGGCGUCCUUUUUAGUGCAGACUGGUCCUGGAACCCGAGAUGGAGUCGCAGCGACUCAGACUUGAUCUCCUUCCUGUUGUGGACGCCCUUGCUGCUCCUCCUCAACACCUUGGCCUUUCCCAAGUCCUUGCUGGUCCUCUCCAAGGUACCUAAUCAUCAAAACAUCCAUGGCCCCAAGCGUAAGCUCUGAAACACAGUUGACUAGGGUAGAACAUACCUAGAGAUUUAGCUGUCGUGCACGAGAUCGUGUUAUCGGUCCAUUCAUUGUAUGUAUAGAAGUGAUGUCCUCAUCAUCCCCCUCCUCUUGAAUUGGAGUCGUCCUCGACUCGAUCUCAUCUUUGUCACCCAUAUAUAGCUUCAAAUCUGAAAUAUUAAAGGUGGAACUAACCCGAAAAUCUGAAGGCAACUCAGGUGGUAAUCCAGGGGGUAUCUCAGAAGGAAACACAUCCAUAUACUCUUGCAGAAGGUUAGCAAUAGCCGGUGGCAAAGAAAUAGACGUAUCAUUAAUGGAAUAGAAAACAUUUUUGACACUAAGGCAUAGCAAAGUCCAACAGAGGCAUGUAACUCAUUAAGAUCAGAUUUAGUAGCUAGCAACGUAGGAGUUUUUAACUUAAUAGGUUGCUGAUUUUCAGAGUUCAAAACACCUUUUUGUUUAGCAUUAAUCUUUUUCUCAUGUUCUAAAUGGACCAUUUCAGUGGGAGUCAUAGGAAGCAACACAAUUUUCUUUCUCUUAUGCAUGAAAGUAUAUUUAUUAGAUCUACCAUGGUGAAUAGCAUCAGUAUCAAACUCCCAAGGACGUCCCAGUAAAAGAGAGCAAGCAUCCAUACUCACCACAUCGAAAUCAGCAAAGUCAUGGUAAGAGCCAAUAGAAAAAUGCACCCUUGCUGUUUUUGUUACCUUGAACUUACCGCUGUUGUUAAACCAUUGAAUGUGAUAAGGGUGGGGAUGCUCUCGUGUGGUCAAGCCAAGCUUCUUGAUCACCUCAACGUUCACCAAGUUGUUGCAGCUACCACCGUCAAUGAUGGUAUGUACACGAUAGUCCUUGACGAUGAGGAACAUGUUGAAGAGGUUGUGGCGCUGUCUGUUGUCAUCGUCACUAGCCGUGGUACUCAAAGCUCGUUGCACAAUCAAGGCCUUAUAGGUCUCGGUCGCUGUUGUACCAAGAACCUCUUCAUCACCAUCAUAAGUCUCUGCAAUGUUAGCUCCAACAGUAUCUUCAUCUUCAACAUCAGAAGCACUAACAUACCCACCAUCACCAGUAGCAAUGUAUGCCCGUUUGCUGGGGCAAUCUCGCUGAAUAUGGCCAAGUCACUGGCAGCGGUGGCACUUGAUGUUGGAGGAGCGGCCUGUGGAAGAGGUGGUCGUAGCAGGUUUUGCUGCAACACCCGAAGGCACGUCGCUGGUGGAGGAAGAUGUGGACGUCCGUACGCCCGAAGAGGAUGACACCUUGGUUGGCGCCGGUGGCUGGUGUGGAGCGAAAGUGCUGCUCCUCCGCUGUUGACGACCCUGCAAUUCUUUUUCUGCCAACAUAGAAAGAUGGAACAAGCGUUGUAUAGAAUGAUAUUCUUUAUAAUCAACAAUAUCCUGAAUCUCCUGCCUCAAUCCCCCAUAAAACCUAACCAUUUGAUCCUCCGGAUCCUCAACUACCCCACAUCGUAGCAUACCUUUCUGAAGCUCUUGGUAGUAUUCCUGUACCGACAUGUCUCCCUGAUCUAAGCGUUGCAAUUUUUUUCAAAGAUCACGUCUAUAAGAAGGGGGAACAAAGCGAGCUCGCAUCUCCUCUUUUAACGCAUUCCAUGUUUGUGGUGCAGCACGUGUGUUAACUAGUUCAUUCCACCAAAUGAUAGCAAAAUCUCUAAAUUCACUAGUGGCUUGUCUAACCCUAUGCUGCUCAUGAACAAGAUGGGAAUAAAUUUUUGUUCUACCGUCAUCUCCCAGUCUAAGUAAGCUUCAGCAUCAUAAGAACCCAUGAACGGUGGAAUAGAGAACUUAAUCUUAGCAAAUGGAUCAUGGUCUGAUUGAGGAUUAUGAUGACGACGUCUACCAUUACCUCCCAUACCUUGUUGAUUACGUGCGAAGCGUUGUGGCAGCGGUGCAUAAACAUCGUCGUCAUCGUCGUCGUCCACAUGAGAGUGAGAUGGGGCUGGAGUUGGUGGUGGGGGAUGAGCCUCCAUUACGUCCAUGCGUGUAACAAGUUUAUCAACUCGUCGAUCAAGCUGCUCAUAGGAUGUCGAGGCAGAGUCCUGGUAUUUUUUAAAAGCUUCAGUCAUCGUGCGCAUCAUCUCCUUCAAUUCCAUCUGAGAGACACACUCAUCUUCGUUAAGUUUAGGCCCCUUGUCCUUGUCCAUUUGAUUCUUUGGUCCUGUCAUUGUUAGCACAAAACAGAGACAAAAAGGCAACAAACAAUGUGAACCCUACAACUAUCUCUUAGGGUGGUGGUGGUGGUGGAAUACAAAUUAUGAAGCGUCUUACCCCGCUCUUACAACGUUCUUACCAGCACUGCAGGUGGCAAACGGUAACCAGUGUGAUUGUCCAACGAGCGUGGGUGUGAUUGCAAAGGAGUACAUGUUCUGCUCGAGAGAAAACUGGAGCUAUGGGAAGGAUGACUAAAUAUAUAUAUGUGGCACACAAGUCAGUAACAGAUAGCAAUGCUGAAUAAGUGUUCCAAGUACUCGUCCUAUUUGCUGGCCUAGAAAAUGUAAUAGAACAGUUGGACCAAGGCACAAGAAAGGAGGUACAAGUAUAUGGGUGCAGCGAGAAAACAGGCUUGGGGCAAAAUAACCACAGAGGUGCACAGAACACUGGCGUUUCUGGUUAUGUGCUACCCUUCUUUUUUUUACGAUUUUCUUUUUUUUUCAAAUAUUUUUUUUAUAUUUUUCUAUUUUGCAGCAGCACAUAAUAAGAUAACACAUCAAGUUUCAGAUUUUUUUGUGCAAUGACGCGUCCUCUGGAAUUUCUGCAAGUUUGCCCUAAAAUCGGAAUAAAUGUUUGAAAAAUGAAAAGUCCUAUUUCCCAGCCGAAUUUGGGAAUUUUAAAAACAGCAAAUCCGACAAAGCCGGAAAGAAUCGGAUGCAAAAUUUAAUUAUGUGCGAUUUGAAAAAAAAUGGGCCCAAUUCGAGUUCCGAGGCGAAAGUUAUGGCCGUUUUAAGUUUGGACUCUGAAUCAGAGUUUCUGGCGAGAUGUUGGAAGAGUGGGGGGGUUCGGUUUUGUGGAUAGAGUCGGUUUUAGAGAUAGGAUCUAUUUUGUAGAUAGGAUUGGUUGUUGAGAUAGGAUCUAUUUUGUGGAUAGGGUCGGUUUUAAAGAUAGAAUUUGUUUUGUGGAUAUGGUCGGUUUAGAUACAUGAUCUGUUUGGAGAUAUGAUCGGUUUUAGAGAUAGGAUCUAUUUUAUGGAUAGGGUCGGUUGUAGAGAUAGGAUCUGUUUUGUGGAUAGGGUCGAUUGUAGAGAUAUGAUCUGUUUUGUAGAUAGGGUCGGUUUUGUAGGAUGGAAGCGGAUGGACAUAAUCAAACUGAACCAAAACAAAUCUAAUCCAGCAACCAAACUCAACUAGAACAUGAACUCAGAAAUGCGGACUCUAAAACUGAAUUGUGCAAAGGCUAAGGCGAUGGUUUUAGGUCGGAAUAAACUGAUCAUAAUUUUUUUGGCUUUUUGUGGACUAUGGGACGAAACAAAACUAAUCUAAAGGUAGGAUUAUACCUCACGGGCAACCUGGAAAUCUGGUACCAAUUGAUAGUAGACGCGACCCGAUCUUCCGUGAGAUACGAUAAUUUGAUUGAGUGGAGAUCUCGACGUUGAUGAUCCAAGGCUCCGAGCGAACGGUUCCUCGCAAUCACUACACCACGGCUCCGUUGGUUAUCACCCGUGACACACGAAUGACCUCGCCACGAAGGCUUAUCCCUGCAAGCGCAAUCAAGAACACAAGCAAGAACAGGAAAGAAACGCAACCAAAAUUGUAUUGAUUAUGGGAUGGGGUCUCACAAGCCGAUGACGACGACACUGUUCGAUGACAGAAUUGAUCUAAGCAAAACUCAAACCUAAAUGUGGCGGCUGCUGCUGAAUAAAUAGAGUACUAGGUAAAUGCCCGUGCGUUGCAACGGAAACAUAUAAUAACACGAUAACUUAUGUAUAAAUAUGUCGAGAAAAUGUUUUGUAAUCCAUUUAUGAUCUUAUCCAUACAUAAAUUUUGUUAUUUUAAUAUAACUAUUUCAUCACUACAUUAUAACCAUCAGUAUCAUACAUACUUCUAUUUAUGAUUUUAAUAAUGUCAUGUCAAUUGUAUCAUUUAAAUGCUAAGACUAUCACAAUAAAUUACAAACUUAUACAAAUCUUCAGAAAAUAUCACAAGGUCUUACAAUUCAAACGAUGCAACAAAUUAAAAAGCGUCUAAAUCAAUGAAAGCAGUGCAGGUUAGGGCAAUGUAGCAUGAUAUGGAAUGACACAAGAUGACUUCAGUGCAUCUGCUUAGCUUCUCGGCAAACAAAUUUCACUGCAUCUUCUUCAAUUAUUUAUUCCUGCAUGGGCCAUAUAAAUUCCCAAAUAAAUGCACAUGAAUCAAUCAUUUGUUGAUAAACACAGAAACCUUCUUGUUGCAGACAUAAUUCCUAAAUAAAGGCACAUGAAUUAAAUUGACCAUGUAUGCAGACAUAAUUCAGGAUAAAUCACCAUACAUGUUUAAACUGCACUUGUGUGCUUCAUCCAGUAUGAUUAUUGAGUAAUAGUUCGACUUAGGAUUUGAAAAGUUUUCAUGAAGAACAUGUCUACGAGGUAUAUGUAAGAAUUUAAAUCCACGAAUUUAGAAUCAGUGCACUUAUAAAAACAUGUGAAGAAUUUAAAUUUAUGAAUUUAGAAUUAGUGCACCUAUACAAAUUGCAUAACCGACUUGAUCUGUGAGGGCCACCAAGCUAGCAAGCUCUUUCUGUAAAAUAAUAAAUAGGUGUUCUUAUUCACAAAAAACUUCAUAUAUGUUUUGUAUUUGAAGACAAUAAAGAACAUAAAUAACUUUCAAUUAUUGAGUAAAACAACUAACACAGAGUAUGUUGUAUAUCAUGCUACAUUAUACUAAUUAGAUAUCUAGAAACGCAUGACCCAAUGCAUUAACCUCGUCAUUUGACUCCAUAGUUAUUUCUCAAUUCAAGAACAUGGAAAAUUAUAUAAAAUAAUAUUCACUAUUAAGAAACACCGUUUUAGCCGUUGCCAUACACGCAGAUGCAUGUACCUUCUCUUCCCAAACAAUUAGAAAGGAAUCUGCAUGUACCUUUUCUUCCCAAACAAUUAGGAGGUGUGUAUCUUAAUAGAUACUAACAAAGUAGCAUUAUUCCUUGCAGUCAGUUAGGCUAUACGAUCAUUGCUUGCAGCAUCUCUAACUAUUCUUUUACUUAAUGAAUCAUGUGUUUUUCAAAGCAUUACUCAACAUAUUUAUACAUGGUAUUUCCCUGAUGGCUUCUACUUCCAUCCCAUGCGAUCAGGAACCCAGUUCAGUAUAUCAUCCAAAUGAUUCCCAUAUCUCUCCUUUUACUAAAGACCCAUCCUACAACCCAACCAAUACAAAGGUAUAUGUGUAAAAAUCUAAAACCUAAUUAAGGAAUAUAAAGAACAUCAAUCCUUCACUUCUCAUAUAUUAUAUUCUUUAUUUGUAUAAUUCUAGCUUCCUGUGACAACUUUUUAACGCACCACUAUGCCAAUAUUUUCAAAGAAAUUCCUCGACUGUAUAAAUAUAUAACAGAUUACAUCUUAAAACAAGAAAAAAGUUUAACAGAUAUCGUGUGUGUAAUAAUAUGUGUUCAACUGAAUAAUUGCUUGAUAAGUCGCACACAAACAGAUAUCGUAUGGGAAGACAUAUGGAUUGUUGUUAGGGAGUCCACACACCUUAUGGGGGGAGAGUAGUAGGGAUUCUGUGUUCCAAGGUGACAAACACAGACAGAGCUGAUCUACAAUCUGAAUCUGAAAAAGAACAAUAACAAUUCUGAUCAGUAUGACUGCAAGCUGAAAAAAUGGUACAGUAAAUGAGUAUGAUGUUGAGCAAUGCAAAGGAAAGAAAAAAUUAAUAUGAUUCUAUCUCUGGUACCGUGUGUUUUCACAUCCCUAAUAUUUCUCAACCAAAACAACAAUGCACAACCAAGGAAAACAGAAAAGAGGCUCACAAUGGUUUAUAAUUGAAGAACAUGCAAACAUAGUACAAGGGUGUCUUGUUUGGAAUUUAUAAAUAAAGACUGUCUUGUUUGGAGACGCGAAAAUCAUUCAAAAGUGAAACAGUUAGCUUGCAUUACGAGUUGGAUUAACCAAGGAAGUCAGUGAGUAGAUCAAAUUUCCUUGAAUAAUAAUUACCUUGUGACCGAAGAAAUACCCAGCAGGAUCACAUGUAAAGAGUUUUGGAGUUCCUUUCUCAUCAUCAAUGCCCAAAAUCAUGGCAACUGCGUGGGAGAGUAUAAGGGCGGUCUAAGGCUCUAAGCAUUAAGAUAUAUAACAGAAAAUAGUAAAACAUGGCUAUAGGUUCCACCACUCCCAUUUUGUUGUGGGGAAGGAACACCACCCUCAAAUAUGUAAGUCUCAUUGCACUAACCAACUCCAGAAGGUCUCUUGGAAACAUACUCAGUCCAGAUCUGUGCUCUGUCUGCAAUCCUGUGAAUAAACAAGCAUAUGCAGUUGGUUACAUGCAGAAGAAUCCUGUUUAAAUACAGAAACAUGCCAGGUUACUGAAAAAUAUCAUGUUUAUAUAUAAAUCGUCAUUGAUGAAAGAAAAAAUAUUAUACAUAGUAAAUAUAAAGAUAGUUUUGGUUUGUGACGACCGCUCCCUGUACUGUACAAGUGUGUGAAAUUCACAGGCCCCACUUAAUUUCUUUCCUUCACCUUAAUGUGCAUGAUCAACAGACAGACAAAAUAUAUAUGCAUAAAUCAGGAUAAAUACUUUUGAGAGGAUAUCUUAGUGUCCUCUCAUACAUCCAACACGACACUGAACAUGAGUGAGAUUUAACUAAUGUUACAGACAGAAUUAUUUUCAUGUCAUCAAGCAAUUAUAGGCACUGCCAGUCUGAAGUCCUGAUAUACUAUAUAUUUCCUUGAGCUCAUUUUUUACCAUUGUGCCAAAACAUCAUGAGGCAUUUCAUAUCCCCAAUUGAAACAAAAUUCUGUAGUUUGAUUCCUUGCCUCAUGUUUGGAUCUCCUAAAAAAUGAGAAUGUGAUCCAAACACUUGGGUGCUAGAAUUAGAUUCUAGAAUCCAACUAUGCAAAGGCAAUAAUCACUAUGAGAAAGAUCCGAACACCCCUUAUCCAGAUUCUACAUCCGCUGUCUAGAAUCCAGAAUCUCACUCUGAGAAUGAGUUCUGAGUAGGCCCUUAGACUUGCUGGUUACUGUCAGUGGUAUCUGAAAUCUGACAAGAUCUUAUUUUGAUAGUUUCUCUGCAUAAAUUAGUGGAGAAAUGUGAGAUUUAGGUCCUUUCUCAGUGUAUGAUAACUCUGUUGUUACUUAUCAUCAAAAGCUGGUUGUUUUGGGGUUUUCAGGUUGGGCUUUUGCUGAUUAAGUUUUGCACCGACUGGCACCUCUCUGGAUUGGGGCAAGAGGGCUUGAAUUUACAUGGGAGUACAUAUUUAAAGGACUUGAAGUGAAUGCUAAUCUUGUAUGCACUCAAUACUAUGCGAAAAUAUAAUGUCAGAUUCGUUGACUUGAAAAAUUGUAGACUGGUUAGUUAACCUUAAAAAUUGUAUGCAUCAUAAUUAGGCUGUCAACCUUAAAAAAUCGGUCUCUGUCUAGCACCUUCUAAACCCAACCCAUAUUCAUUAUAUGUAGCGAACAUUCAAAAAAGGAGCAUCAACCUGAGUUCAAAAAAUAGGGGUUGUUGCACCAAAAUACACUUUUCGAAGAGAACACAGACAUACACUCUAUCUAUUCUACAAGACACCAUGAGCACGAACUAAACAUAAAUGAAUCUAACCAGCAACAUUCGAUUCCUGGUACGAUCGAAGAAAACACAUGUAUGAGUUCAUUCAGACAACACCAUUAAUCGCUACAAACACUGUCUUUAUGAAAAAAACUAUGUUCGCACAGUUUGACGAAUAUAAAUCAGGACACCUAGACGGAUUAUAAAUACUGGUGAUAGUGAGACAAAUGAAGCUUUAAAUAGAUUAUGUACUGACUGUGUAACCGAAAAUGUGCUCUCCAAUCCUUGGUCCCUCUGAAGGGAUCAAAGGCUCCACAGCAAGUAUGAUCUUCAGCUGAAGAACAGGAGACCUGAGCAGCAGUUUGAUUCGAAAACGAGUAUCUUAAUUAAAACCUUCCAAUAACAUAAUUGCAUUUGCAAUUUGGAGCAGGACUUAAAAAACACAGCGCGACCGUAGAACAGAAGAUCUAUAUCUAACUAAAUCGGUGUUUAGAUAUGAAAUUACAGUAGUCUGCUCAUAAACGUGGACAAUCUUUAUGAACGAGAGGAGGCUCUAAACAAGUAAUUUGUGUGUUAAACAUUGUUUCGUUUAGUUAAAAUAUGUCCCAUUCAGAAAACUAUAUAUGACUUUCAUGUUACAAGAAUGAGACUUUAAUAAGGUUAGAAACGAUUCAACCUGCAAAGUAUGCCCACCACGUUGAGGUCCUCCUCCGUGCGAGCACCUCCUUUAACAAUAUAUUGUCUGCGCGAGCAGAGGUAUAUAAGCUAGACAUUAAAAAAGAGUUAUGCGACAGAUAGGCUGUGGAAAGGAGUUUGCGAUGGUUCCAAGCACUGAGGCGACUUGCAAUAUCAGGAAUGAACAGAUCAAAUUUGUUGUAUCUCUGCCGAGGAUUCAUGGGAAAACAAAAAAAAUAAUGUUGUGUCAAUGUAGUAUGACCAGAUUAAAAAUGUAAGGUGUUGCCUUUUUAAAUAAAUAUACAACAAAUGUGUUUGUUGGUUUAUUAGCAUGCAUAGUCUUUAAGUAAGCAACUAAAAAAUUAUGAGUAAUCCUUGGUUUUUGUACAUAUAUCGGUAUUUGUACAGAUAGACUCGAUCGUCAAACUCCACUUUUUGUAUGUGUGUCAAUGUAGUAUGAAUAGUUACGUUGUUUAACAGUAAACGAGCUGGAAGGGGUGCCACGCGUUUAAGUUAGUUGAUCAUACCUGUUAACGUCAUUGUCAGUAUCAUAAUAUUUGAAAGAUUGAAGAUGUAUCCUUCAAAGCAUGAAGAGGCUGCAUGCAUAACCAGUUGUGAAGCACAUUAGCAAGUGCUUAUUAAUAUAUGCAUGGGACUUGAAGAACACUCGGAUGAGAAAUUGAAGAACACUCGGAUGAGAAAUUGAAGAACACCACUCCCUUUCCCUUGUAUACAACAUUAAUUCAAGGUACUCUUUUUAAACAAGGUCAACCCAUAAUAAAUAGAAGAAACCACAAUAUAGAUGGAUAAGAUCAACACUAUUUCAACUAACCAUACUUUUGUGAAAUCUAUCAAUUCCACUAUAUAUUAAUGUAGAGCACAAAGGUACUGUUGUCACCUGCUUGUUUACUCAUAGCCAAAUCCAUACUCAAAUUUCAGUGUAAAUUUAACAUGCUUGUCCCUCACCAUUGCUGCCAAUGUUGUAUCUAUUCCAAUGUUCUGCAAGUGACAUACCAUAAAAGGAGAACAAUGUGAAAACGUGAGGGAAACAACUCUUCUAAUUCUAUACUCCUAUACUGUAUUAAAACCAUAAAUCAUUGAUAUAUAAGUUUAUGCAUAGUAACAUCCAAUUAGUGUUAUCCUAUAAGAUUAACAGAAGGAAUAUAACCGUAUAUAAAUUAGUACUCCUUGUCUUUUAAAUUCAUCUGAAAUUGAGGUCCUGCGAAAGGGCACAGUGCAAACACAUAGCAAUCAUUGGUGAAUAUGACUUGAAAACAACAUACAAUAUAAACCACUGAAAUCAAAGAAAUACAUAUUAGAUACGUAUCUAAUGUAAUUAAAAUAGGCAUGUAUGUUUUUUAAAUAUAAUGUGGACGGCUCCCCCUCCUCCUGUCGUUCGUUCGUCUUUCGGUGUCGUGGAGAUCAACAGAUCCUUUCUCCGUCUACUGGCAGCUCGCGAAUCGUGAUCGCUGACCGAAGAGCCCGGCCAUCUGGCACGUCGCCUCUAACAACUUGCCUGCAGUGUCAGUGUGUGUGUUUCGUUAGGGAACAGAAGCGUAAGGCUAAUAACUGCAUGGUUAAGAAAAUAAUAAUGACACCCUGUUACAAUACAGGGUUGGAGCCAAAAAACUACUGCAGAUAAUGGAUCCAAAUACGCCAAUCAGCACUGCCAUGUUGCAAUCCUAUAUAAUGUCGCUGAGAACGGAUCUACCUGAUCAUGAUGCACGGGGGCCUACAAGGGUUUUGAUGGUUUAGGGUUGAACUGAGCUGUCUAAUUCAGCUCAUAUGUAUAUUUCAGACGGUCUUCCCUCUCUAACACAGGCCAGAUUUGAUUUCGUUCAUUAUCGAUCUCUGCAGUCUGAACACAGUUUGGCCCUUGCCCUACCUCUAAGAAUAACCAAUGCAGAUAAAGUGAACUAUAAUUUGGGAAGUGAGGGAAUAAAUGCACUUCCAGAAAAAAAAUUCCCCAAAUCAGAAGACGCAUGGGACUUUGAGGUCUGAGCGACCAAAGUGCCUACGCGUCAAAAUCAGAACUGCUGAACCCUCCAAAUCAAAAGCAAAACCCCAGCGCAGAUUGCAGCGGCCAUGCGAAUCUACCCCAAAAGCCAGACAAUUCCCCUCACAGUCCACGAUUCCAUGCACAUGCGCGGGCUUCACAGGAAACAGAACCACGAAUCCGAGUUGCAGACGACGAGGACUUGAAAUCCGGGGCCACGGCGCAGGCGCGAGCCCGGAAUUUCCCAAAUCGAGGGCACGCACCGCACAGGGACCCCGUCCCAGCAAUAACGAGAGACGGGCAUCGCCAGGGCACCCUCCCUCCCUGUCUGCCUCACCUGCUCGAUGUGGCCCUGCGGGAGGUAGUAGACCUUCUGCCCGAGCGGCGGCACGCAGGACAGCGGCCCCGCGCAGGCCUUCCAUAGCUCGACGAACAGCGCAUCCUUCCCUCCGCCUCCGCGUCCUGCUUCCGCACCUGCACGCCCAGGCAAAAGAAGCACAUAAACCUUGUCACAGACAAACCUAAACCCCUUGGAGGGUUUACAGGGGCGAUCAGAGAGAGGUAGGGUUGGGUAGGUUUACGAGCGCGCUGGAGAGGGAGGGGGGCACCGCCGCCGCUGCACAUGGUGGAGAGGUAGGGGCGCCACCGCCACACACGGGAGAGGGAGGGGUGCCGUCGCCGCGUGUGGUGGAGAGGGAGGUGGUCGCGUCGUUGCUUCGUUUGCGGAGAAUGGCAGGUAGGGAGAGAGACGUGGGAUGGGGACGCGGCCAUCGCGCGGGGGUGGCCGAGUGGGGCAGUGCUGAUCGGCGUGAAUAACAGAACAGACGGUGUAGAUUAACAUGCGACAGAACCAGAGAGAGGCAGAACCAGGGAAAGGUAGACUAUUAUUGCUUACUUAAUAAGUAGUAUAGAUUAGGGCGUGUGUGACCCCUGGACUCACCCCUAAUGGGCUCCGACGCGAUACACGACCCAACGGCCCAACAGACGGUGUCGCAGCACCAAAACAGAAUCUGAACGCUGACUUGUUUCGACGAUUCCCGUAGACUCCGGAUGAAUUUUAGGGUGGAACUAGUUGGGUUGGUUAGAUAAUCUUGUUAUCUUUCCAACCAUAUCUAGUCCAUCACAAUCGGAGUCCGGAUGCAUCUUGGGCGUCCUUUUUAGUGCAGACUGGUCCUGGAACCCGAGAUGGAGUCGCAGCCGACUCGGACUUGAUCUCCUUCCUGUUGUGGACGCCCUUGCUGCUCCUCCUCAACACCUUAGCCUUUCCUAAGUCCUUGCUGGUCCUCUCCAAGGUACCUAAUCAUCAAAACAUCCAUGGCCCCAAGCGUAAGCUCUGAAACACAAUUGACUAGGGUAGAACAUACCUGGAGAUUUAGUUGUCGUGCACGAGAUCGUGUUAUCGGUCUAUUCAUUGUAUGUAUAGAAGUGAUGUCCUCAUCAUGAACUACAAGACCAAUUUGAGUUAUUGGGUAAUUGAUAGUAGAUGUACCCAACAUAUGACUGGUGACCCAUGGACAUUGACCUAACUCAAUGAAGGAUGAUCAAGAGAAGGUAACCUUUUGGGAUAAUUAAAAGAGAAAAUCCAAAGGUUUGGGCAAAGUGGCAAUCUCAAAUGAUCACUCAAUAUUUAUUGUUCUCUUGGUUGCAUCACUAAGUUUCAAUUCUCUAUCCGUUGGUCAAUUGUGCAAUCUUGGCUUCAAUGUCUAUUCAUAGAGAAUGAGGUUGUUAUAUCUAAGAAGGAUGAUAAUAAAGUCAUAUUCAAGGGAUUUAGAUACAUCAAUCUAUAUUUAAUGGAUUUAACUUUCGAAUAACUUCUCUUAGGUGUUUAUGGCAUAGAAGGAUUGCUCAUGUUGGAAUGGGGACACUAAAAAUGUUAAAUAAAGAGAUGGUUAUAGGAUUGAAGGAUGUUGCAUUUUAAAAUGAUAAGAUUUAUAAUGCAUAUUAAGCUAGCAAUCAAGUUGCAAAUACCCAUCCUACUAAAGCUUUAAUGUCAACAUCAAUACCACUAGAGCUUCUGCACAUGGAUUUGUUUGGUUUAACAUGUUAUUCUAAUGUGGGAGGCAACCUAUAUUGUCUCAUUAUUGUGGAUGAUUAUUAAUACAUGAUUGGGUGUUCUUACUUUAAGAGAAGUCUGAAGUUGCAUCAAUAUCCAAGAGAUUUACCAAGAAAGCUCAACAUGAAUAUGAUUGUAGAAUCAAUAAAAUUAGAAGUUACAAUGGAAGUGAGUUUGGAAACACAAACAUUGAAUAUUGCGAUGAAGUUGGAUCAAACAUGAGGUUUCUAAAACAUACACCCCUCAACAAAAUAGUGUUGUUGAGAGGAAAAUAUGACAUUGAUCACUCUCGCAAGGACUAUGAUUGUUGUGUAUAACACACUGAAGAGAUUUUGGACCAAAGCAAUCAACACUACAUGUUAUGUAUCAAAUCUGUUAUUUCCUCACCAUCUACUUGAGCAGACUCCCUAUGAGUUUCUCAAUGGGAAGUUGGAUUUCUUCUUCCAGGUGUUAGGAUGCAAGUUCUACAUCUACCAGAAGCGCCAACACUUAGGUAAGUUCCAAAUGAAAUGUGAUAUUGGUUUCUUACUUGGCUAGUCAUUAAAGUCUAAAGCAUAUCGAGUAUUUGAAAGUUCCCUUUGCCGAGGAACAUGAUCUAGAUGUCGCCUAGAGGGGGGUGAAUUGGCGAAUAAAAACUAUCACUUAAAAACUGGAAAUCUUACUCUACCUGAAGUUUGGUUUUAGUUGAAAGAAUAUUAUGUCGAGUAGGUUGUAGUUCUUGUCUCAAUAUAUCCUGCACUUCAAAGACAUCUUAUACCAAAGAUAAGUAUUGAAGUGCAAGUAGAAAAGUAAUCAAGACAUGGAGAUAGAACAUAACAUAGAGUAGAGCACACAGACACAGGGGUUUAUCCCAUGGUUCAGCCAAGCCUUAAAUGCUUGCCUAGUACAUGUUGGAGUUAGCCAAACCUUGGCUUGGAGUCUAUUUCAACUCCUUCCUACGUUUGCCUAGAUCUAUCACCAGGUGGCAGAUCGAGGCUUCCACUAUGUUGAGGUUGGUUACAACAGAGCCGCGACUGUUUACAAGUCUUCACAACACUUCAGCAGAUUAACAAUACUCCCUUGCUCAAGAUCUUACUCACUCUAACUUACAGCAGCACUCCUCUACUCUAUCUUGGCUUAUAACCGUGUCAAUACACAAACUAGAGAGAAAUACACAAGAGAGGGGACAAAAAUGAUUCACAAUGUGUCUACAAAGUACUGAUGCACUUGGGAGCCUCGGACACUUGAUUAUGGGCACCUAGCGGUCCUUUUAUAGCCCCAAAAGAGCCCCUAGUUGUUGCACUUUCUUUGCAAAAAGAUGCCAAAAUGGGUUGACUACGGGCGCACCGGAUCGGUCCGGUGCACCACCGGAGCGGGUCUGUACGCCCCCAGUCCGGGAUCUGAUUGACACUUUCCUUCUCUGAAAUGGCUAGCAGUUGGUGCACCGGUACAGUCCUGUAGCUGGUCCGGUGCGCCACGGACUAAGUCCUGUAGCCGAUCCGGUGCACCACGAACCAAGUCCUAUAGAGGGCCUGUAGAUGGUCCGGUGCACAGGACCGACACUAUAGCCGAUCUGGUGAUAUUUAGCCAAAAAAAACCCGAGACCAGCUAGUUCACUCUUGGUGCACAGACCCACUACUGUAGCAGGUCUGGUGCACCACAGGACCAGUCUUGUAGGAGGUCCGGUGCACACAGACAAGCUGUAGUGAGUCCCUUUUCUCCAUUUCUUCUCCAAUUGAUCUCUACUCUUAGGAGGACUUUCCUGUGACUUACACACACAUAAUUAG
RNAcentral lists this long non-coding RNA (52806 nucleotides) under Zea mays. Its description in RNAcentral is "long non-coding RNA (ZMAY_LNC000132)". Lineage: Eukaryota; Viridiplantae; Streptophyta; Magnoliopsida; Poales; Poaceae. The record is from RNAcentral.